Monodelphis domestica (gray short-tailed opossum) is the source of this 63295-nucleotide non-coding RNA. Lineage: Eukaryota; Metazoa; Chordata; Mammalia; Didelphimorphia; Didelphidae. The record is from RefSeq and is a predicted model, not a curated record.
AACUGUUACUGAGGAGGUGGGAGAAGGCCAGGGGAGGAAAAAACCAAGGGCAAGGAGAGGCAUAGGGGAGGGUGGAAAAGGAAUGAGGAGAUGAGCAUGGCUUAAAGGUGACCAAAAAGGGAACUGGUGGCCUGGAGAUCCUGGCCAGAUGAGGAAACUGAGAGCCAGAAGGGCUAAAUUCUCCAUCUGCCCUGGGUGACACAAUCAUGGAGUGGCAGAGCCAUCAUUUGAACACAAGUUCCAUGACUACUGAAAGCAGCACACUGUAGCCCAAGAUGACAUCACAGUUGCCAAGGGAGGAGAAGAAAGGAGAAGAGGAAAGAAGAGGUGGAAAAAAGACACUAUAGAAGGGAAGAAAGUAGAAGAGCCAAGGAAAAAUAAAAAAAAUGAAGAGGAAAGAGGAGUAAUAUAUUUUCAGAUGAUUCAAUUUAAGGUGGAAGGGCUCACAGGAUCCAACUGCUCCAACCCACUUCUUGGACAGAAAAGGCAGCUGAAGGCUGGAAAAGUUUACUGACUGCCAAAAGUUCCCACAGAUGAGGAAACUGAGAGCCCGAUGGGCUAAGGUCUCCAUCUGCCUUGGGUCACACAGUCAUAGAGUGGCUGAGCCAUCAUUUGAACACAGGAUCCAUGAAUGGUAAAUCUGUGAUCCAGAGCAAGCAGAAGCCUUGGCCAGAUUAGAAUCUUCAGGAGACAUGGAUUCUAGCCUCAACUCUGCUCCUAACUGUCAAUGGAUGACAGUCUCUGUGUUGGCUCAGUGACAUUCCCUGAAAAAGAGGGCAUUGGACUGGGUUCCAUGAAUGGUAAAGGCAGCACAGGGUGGCCCAGGAUGACAUCACUGUUGUCAAGAUGAGGAAACUGAGAGCCAGAAGGGCUAAGGUCUCCAUCUGCCCUGGGUCACACAAUCAUGGAGUGGCAGAGCCAUCAUUAGAACACAGGUUCCAUGAAUGGUAAAGGCAGCACAGGGUCACCCAGGAUGACAUCACUGUUGUCAAUGUUUCUGGAAUGUUCCCACUAAUUGUGAUGAAAGAGAGGAGAGUAAAGUAGGAGAGGAAAGAAUAAGGGGUUUGUGUGGAGGAGGAAACUAGGGAAAGGGAGGAAUUAGGAGGGGUCAAAGAGAAAUUAAAAUAUAUGAAGAGGAAAUGGGAGGAGUAGAUUCUCAGAUGAUCCAAUUUAAGGUGGAAGGGCUCUCAGGGUCCAACUGCUCCAACCCUCUCCUUGGACAGAAAAGGCAGCUCAAGGCCAGAAAAGUUCACUGAUUGGCAAAGGUUCCCACAGGUAAUACCGAGUAGAGCUGAGAUUUGGACUUAGGGCCUCUGUCUCCCAAGGUACUGUCUUUCAUUAGGCACUCUAACAUUCCCUCCAGCACAGAAAGGGAGAGAAAUAGGGGAUGGGCAGAAAAGUAAGAAGUUGGUAGAAGGAGGUGAGAAGAAGUGAGCUAUCGAGGAUACAAUGGAAGGAGGAGGAGGAAUAGGUUAGAGAUUGUAAAGAUAUUGAGGACUGAGCAUGGAGAAGUGAGGAAAGGAUUGGUUAGAGAAAUUUGAAGAAAGCAUGUGUUUAGGGAGAAAAAUAAUAACAGAAAAAAGGAAUUAAGGUGAAGCGACAAAAGGGGGACUGGGACAAGGCAGAGGAAUGAGGAAGGGAUGGACAGGAUGAGAAAAAAGUAUGGAGAACCAGGCCUAGAGACGGGAGGUCCUAGGUUCAAAUCCGGCCUCAGCCACUUCCUAGCUGUGUGACCCUGGGCAAGUCACUUGACCCCCAUUGCCUAGCCCUUACCACUCUUCUGCCUUGGAGCCAAUACACAGUAUUGACUCCAAGACAGAAGGUAAGGGUUUUAAAAAAAAAAAGAAAAAGAAAAAGAAAAAAGUAUGGAGACCAGGGAAAGGGUCAUAAGGAGGAGAAGGUAGGACAAGGGCACAGCAGGCAAUUGCUGGACAGCUCAAGUACCCCAAUCCUUAGAAGACACUGUCACAGGAAAAGACAUUAUUAGAGAUUCUUUUUCCUUUCUAAAUUUCAGGCUAGAUACAAUAAGGAAUUGUCCAUGGUUCCUGGAUGCCACAAAACAGAAGUGGGGACCUGGAGUAAUUGGCCAGGAAAGGACAGGGAAGGCUCAUCCAGCAGAGCCCAGGGUAAAGGAAUGACACUAGUGUGAGGUCACUAUUCAUAAGCUCCCAAAUGAAUACCCAGCUCCUCCUAAAGACCUCUGCCCAUGCCCUUCAACUCUUGUGACUUUGGGCAUACUUUUCAGCCUAAUCCUCUGUGAUCCAGAGCAAGCAACCCCCCUGGCCAGAUUAGAAUCUUCAGGAGGCAUGAAUUCUAGGCUCAGCUCUGCUCCUAACUGUCCUUGUGGUGGCACAGUUACAUGGCCUGAAUAGGAGGGCAUUGGACUAGUUGGGAUCCAAGGAACCUUUGACACCUGCUGCCAGACUGUGAUUCUCAGAGUGACUGAGGGUCCUCUUGGUCACAGAUAUAAUUCCCACAAUAUGAAGUCAACGUAAGGGAGUCACAGACACUUCCUUUGCUUUUCCAUGGUCACAUUCUUAAUCAUGAUCCUACCCACUGCCCCAUUCAUCCAGAAGGAAGUCAGGUAUGAUAUUGGUAUGUGUUAGGAAAAAAACCCAUUAAAGAUGCAAAUCCACAGGCAAGCCCCCUCUGAAGUCCUGUGGGUAAAAUCAUGUUGGACUCAUGAGAAAGCACAGGACCUUGCAUAUCUGGAGGGCAGCAAGUUAAGGUUCAAAGGACAUGGAUAAGAUUAGGGCUCAUGUCAUCUGCUUUCUCUAACAUGUUUUGCUAAAAAUCAAAAUUUUCAGUAAGUUGAACCUUCUCAGGUCCUUCAUUUGCAAAUCUAGGCCUAGCCAGAUUAAGAUGGUGCCACCACAGACAGUCCUGCAAUCAAGACAAGGUUAGGAUCUUAAAGUAUUCCUCUGCCGCCAGCAGCCUAUCAGAUGUUGUAGAGGGGAGUUAACUUCUUCUCUCAUGAUCCUCAGUCACAAAGCAUAUAUCCCAUAUGACCAUCAGCCUAUCCUGAGGGAUAAAAUCUCAGCUCAGGUCACUAAAGUCACCAGAAUGUGAGGGUUGGUCUAGCUGAACAUACAACAUUUUAUUCAAGGUCAAAUCCUAUCAACCUGAUGAUUCCUAUCAACCUGAAGAUUCCUCAUUUUCUUUUUCAGAUAAGGAAACUGAGAGCCAGAAGGGCUAAGGUCUCCAUCUACCCUGGGUCACACAAUCAUGGAGUGGCAGGGCCAUCAUUUGAACACAGGUUCCAUGAAUGGUAAAGGCAGCACAGGGUCACCCAGGAAGGCAUCACUGUUGUCAAGGUUUCUGGAAUGUUCCCACUAAUUGUGAUGAAAGGGAGGAGAGUAAAUGAGGAGAGGAAAGAAGGUGGUGGGGGGCGUGGAGGGGGUAGAAGGAAUCUAGGGAAAGGGAUUAAUUAGGAGGGUUUAAAGAGAAAUUUAAAAAUAUAAAGAGAAAAUGGGAGGAGUACAUUCUCAGAUGAUCCAAUUUAAGGUGGAAGGGCUCUCAGGGUCCAACUGCUCCAACCCUCUCCUUGGACAGAAAAGGCAGCUCAAGGCCAGAAAAGUUCACUGAUUGGCAAAGGUCCCCACAGGUAAUACUGAGUAGAGCUGAGAUUUGGACUUAGGGCCUCUGUCUCCCAAGGUACUGUCUUUCAUUAGGCACUCUAACAUUCCCUCCAGGACAGAAAGGGAGAGAAAUAGGGGAUGGGCAGAAAAGUAAGAAGUUGGUAGAAGGAGGUGACAAGAAGUGAGCUAUCGAGGAUACAAUGGAAGGAGGAGGAGGAAUAGGUUAGAGAUUGUAAAGACAUUGAGGAUUGAGAAUGGAGAAAUGAGGAAAGGAUUGGGAAGAGAAAUUUGAAGAAAGCAUGUGUUUAGGGAGAAAAAUAAGAAAAAUAGUAAGAGAAAAAAAAAAGGAAUUAAUGUGAAGAAACAAAAAGGUGACUGGGACAAGGCAGAGGACUGUGGAAGGAAAUGACAGGGGAUAAGAUAAGAGUAGGGAGACCAGCAAAAGAGUGAAAAAGAGGAGAAAGUAGGACAAGGGCACAGAAGGCAAUGGCUAGACAGCUCCAGAACCCCAAUCCUUUGAGGACACUGUCACAGGAAAAGACAUCAUUAGAGAUUCGUUUUCCUUUCUUAAUUUCAGGCUCGAUAGAAUAAGGAAUUUACCAUGGUUCCUGGGUGCCACACAGGAGAACUGGAGACCUAGAGUAAUUGGCCAGGAAAGGAUAGGGAAGGAUCAUCCAGCAGAGCCCAGGGUGAAGGAAUGACACUAGUGUUAGGUCACUAAUCAUAAGCUCCCAAAUGAAUACCUAGCUCCUCCUAAAGACCACUGCCCAUGCCCUUCACCUGUUGUGACUUUGGGCAUACUUUUACACCUAAUAUUCUGUGAUCCAGAGCAAGCAAUCCCCCUUCCAAAUUAGAAUCUUCAGGAGACACAAAUUCUAGCCUCAGCUCUGCUCCUAACUCUCAAUGGGUGACAGUCUUUGUGGCGGCACAAUUGCAUGCCCUGAAUAGGUGGGCAUUGGACUAGCUGGGUUCCAAGGACCCUUUGACACCUACUGCCAGACUGUGAUUCUCAAAGUGACUGAGGGUCCUCUUGGUCACAGAGAUAAUGCCCACAAUAGGAAGACAAAGUAAGGGAGUCACAGGUACUUCCUUGGUUUUUCCCAUGGUCACAUUCUUAAUAUUGAUCCUAAAAACUGCCCCAUUCAUCUAGAAGGAAGUCAGGUAUGAUAGUGGGAUGUGUUAGGAAAAAACCCCAUUAAGGAUGCAAAUGCACAGGCAAGCCCCCUCUGAAGUCCUGUGGGUAAAAUCAUGUUGGACUCUUGAGAAAGCACAGGACCUUGCAUAUCUGAAGGGCAACAAGGUAAGGUUCAAAGGACAUGGACAAGAUUAGGGCUCAUGUAAUCUGCUUUGUCUAGUCUAUUUUGCCACAAAUCAAAACUUUCAGUAAGUUGUACCUUUUCAUGUCCUUCAUUUGCAAAUCUAGGCCUGGCCAGACUAAGAUGCUGCCACCAGAGACAGUCCUGCAAUCAAGACAAGUUUAGGAUCCUAAAGGAUUCCUCUGACACAAACUGCCUAUCAGAUGUUGUAGAGGGGAGUUAACUUCUUCUCUCAUGAUCCUCAGUCACAAAAAAUAUAUCCCAUAUGACCAUCAGCCUAGCCUGAAGGAUGAAAUCUCAGUUCAGAUAAGGAAACUGAGAACCCGAAGGGCUAAGGUCUCCAUCUGCCUUGGGUCACACAGUCAUAGAGUGGCUGAGCCAUCAUUUGAACACAGGAUCCAUGAAUGGUAAAUCUGUGAUCCAGAGCAAGCAGAAGCCUUGGCCAGAUUAGAAUCUUCAGGAGACAUGGAUUCUAGCCUCAACUCUGCUCCUAACUGUCAAUGGAUGACAGUCUCUGUGUUGGCUCAGUGACAUUCCCUGAAAAAGAGGGCAUUGGACUGGGUUCCAUGAAUGGUAAAGGCAGCACAGGGUGGCCCAGGAUGACAUCACUGUUGUCAAGAUGAGGAAACUGAGAGCCAGAAGGGCUAAGGUCUCCAUCUGCCCUGGGUCACACAAUCAUGGAGUGGCAGAGCCAUCAUUAGAACACAGGUUCCAUGAAUGGUGAACGUAGCACAGGGUCACCAAGGAUGACAUCACUGUUGUUAAGGUUUCUGGAAUGUUCCCACUAAUUGUGAUGAACGGGAGGAGAGGAAAGGAGGAGAGGAAAGAAUAAGGGGUCUGGGUGGAGGAGGAUACUAGGGAAAGGGAGGAAUUAGGAGAGGUCAAAGAGAAAUUAAAAUAUAUGAAGAGGAAAUAGGAGGAGUAGGUUCUAAGAUGAUCCAAUUUAAGGUGGAAGGGCUCUCAGGGUCCAACUGCUCCAACCAUCUCCUUGGACAGAAAAGGCAGCUCAAGGACAGAAAAGUUCACUGAUUGGCAAAGGUUCCCACAGGUAAUACCGAGUAGAGCUGAGAUUUGGACUUAGGGCCUCUGUCUCCCAAGGUACUGUCUUUCAUUAGGCACUCUAACAUUCCCUCCAGCACAGAAAGGGAGAGAAAUGGGGGAUGGGCAGAAAAGUAAGAAGUUGGUAGAAGGAGGUGAGAAGAAGUGAGCUAAGGAGGAUGCAAUGGAAGGAGGAGGAGGAAUAGGUAUGAGAUUGUAAAGACAUUGAGGAUUGAGCAUGGAGAAGUGAGGAAAGGAUUGGGAAGAGAAAUUUGAAGAAACCAUGUGUUUAGGGAGAAAAAUAGUAAGAGAAAAAAGAAAAAGGAAUGAAGGUGAAGAGACAAAAGGGGGACUGGGACAAGGCAGAGGAAUGAGGAAGGGAUGGACAGGAUGAGAAAAAAGUAUGGAGAGCAGGGAAAGGGUCAUAAAGAGGAGAAGGUAGGACAAGGGCACAGCAGGCAAUGGCUGGACAGCUCAAGUACCCCAAUCCUUAGAGGACACUGUCACAGGAAAAGACAUUAUUAGAGAUUCUUUUUCCUUUCUAAAUUUCAGCCUAGAUACAAUAAGGAAUUGUCCAUGGUUCCUGGAUGCCACAAAACAGAAGUGGGGACCUGGAGGAAUUGGCCAGGAAAGGACAGUGAAGGAUCAUCCAGCAGAGCCAAGGGUGAAGGAAUGACACUAGUGUGAGGUCACUAUUCAUAAGCUCCCAAAUGAAUACCCAGCUCCUACUAAAGGUCUCUGCCCAUGCCCUUCACCUCUUGUGACUUUGGGCAUACUUUUCAGCCUAAUCCUCUGUGAUCCAGAGCAAGCAACCCCCCUGGCCAGAUUAGAAUCUUCAGGAGGCAUGAAUUCUAGGCUCAGCUCUGCUCCUAACUGUCCUUGUGGUGGCACAGUUACAUGCCCUGAAUAGGAGGGCAUUGGACUAGUUGGAAUCCAAGGAACCUUUGACACCUGCUGCCAGACUGUGAUUCUCAGAGUGACUGAGGGUCCUCUUGGUCACAGAUAUAAUUCCCACAAUAUGAAGUCAACAUAAGGGAGUCACAGACACUUCCUUUGCUUUUCCAUGGUCACAUUCUUAAUCUUGAUCCUACCCACUGCCCCAUUCAUCUAGAAGGAAGUCAGGUAUGAUAUUGGGAUGUGUUAGGAAAAAACCCAUUAAAGAUGCAAAUCCACAGGCAAGCGCCCUCUGAAACCCUAUAGGUAAAAUCACCUUGUACUCUUCAGAAAGUACAGGACCUUGCAUAUUUGGAGGGCAGCAAGGUAAGGUUCAAAGGACAUGGAUAAGAUUAGGGCUCAUGUCAUCUGCUUUCUCUAGCCUGUUUUGCCACAAAUCAAAACUUUCAGUAAGUUGUACCUUCUCAGGUCCUUCAUUUGCAAAUCUAGGCCUAGCCAGACUAAGAUGGUGCUACCACAGACCGUCCUGCAAUCAAGACAAGUUUAGGAUCUUAAAGUAUUCCUCUGGCGCCAGCUACCUAUCAGAUGUUGUAGAGGGGAGUUAAUUUCUUCUCUCAUGAUCCUCAGUCACAAAGCAUAUAUCCCAUAUGACCAUCAGCCUAUCCUGAGGGAUGAAAUCUCAGCUCAGGUCACUAAAGUCACCAGAAUGUGAGGGUUGGUCUAGCUGAACAUACAACAUUUUAUUCAAGGUCAAAUCCUAUCUACCUGAUGAUUCCUAUCAACCUGUAGAUUCCUCAUUUUCUUUUUCAGAUGAGGAAACUGAGAGCCAGAAGGGCUAAGGUCUCCAUCAGCCCUGGGUCACACAAUCAUGGAGUGGCAGAGCCAUCAUUAGAACACAGGUUCCAUGAAUGGUAAAGGCAGCACAGGGUCACCCAUGAAGGCAUCACUGUUGUCAAGGUUUCUGGAAUGUUCCCACAAAUUGUGAUUAAAGAGAGGAGAGUAAAGGAGGAGAGAAAAGAAGUUGGUGGGGGGCGUGGAGGGGGUAAAAGGAAUCUAGGGAAAGGGAUUAAUUAGGAGGGUUUAAAGAGAAAUUUAAAAAUAUAAAGAGAAAAUGGGAGGAGUAGAUUUUCAGAUGAUCCAAUUUAAGGUGGAAGGGCUCUCAGGGUCCAACUGCUCCAACCCUCUCCUUGGACAGAAAAGGCAGCUCAAGGCCAGAAAAGUUCACUGAUUGGCAAAGGUCCCCACAGGUAAUACCGAGUAGAGCUGAGAUUUGGUCUUAGGGCCUCUGUCUCCCAAGGUACUGUCUUUCAUGAGGCACUCUAACAUCACUCCAGCACUGAAAGGGACAAAAAUAGUGGUUGGACAGAAAAGAAAGAAGUUGGUGGAAGGAGUUGAGAGAAAAGUUUGCUGAUGAGGAUGCAAUGGAAUGAGGAGUAGGAAUAGGUAAGAGAUUGUAAAGACAUUGGGGAUUGAGCAUGGAGAAGUGAGGAAAGGAUUGGGAUGAGAAUAUUGAAGAAGAAAGCAUGAUUUAGGGAGAAAAUUGAAGGAAGGAGAUGGAAAAGAUUGAGGAGAAGGUAAACAGAAAAAAGAAAAAUGAAUUAAGUUGAAGUGACAGAAGGGGUUCCAGGACAAGGCAGAGAAAUGAUUAAAGAAAGCACAGGCGAUGAGAUGCAAGUAGAGAGACCAGCCAAAAGGUGAGGAAGAGGAGAAGGUUCGACAAGGGCAAAGCAGGCAAUGGCUGGACAACUCCAGAACCCCAACACUUCCAGGACACUUUCACAUAGAGAUGCUUUUUCCUUCUAAAUUUCAGGAUAGAUAAAAUGAGGAAUUGACCAUGGUUCCUGGGUGCCACAGAGGAGAACCGGAGAUCUGGAGUAAUUGGCCAGGAAAGAACAGGGAAGGCUCAUCCAGCAGAGCCCUGGAUGAAGGAAAGACUCUAGUGUUACGUCACUAAUCAUAAGCUCCCAAAUUAAUACCCAGUUCCUCCUAAAGGCCUCUACCCAUUCACUUCACCUGUUGUGACUUUGGGCAUACUUUUCCACCUAAUAGUCUGAUCCACAGCAAGCAGAAGCCUUGGCCAGAUUAGAAUCUUCAGGAGAAAUAAAUUCUAGCCUCAGCUCUGCUCCUAACUGUCAAUGGAUGACAGUCUUUGUGGUGGCACAGAUACAUGCCCUGAAAAAGGGGGCAUUGGACUAGAUGGGAUCCAAGGAACCUUUGACACCUGCUGCCAGGUUGUGAUUCUCAGAAUGACUGAGGGUCCUCUUGAUCACAGAUAUAAUGCCCUCAAUAUUAAGCCAACGUAAAGGAGUCACAGGCACUUCCUUUGCUUUUUCCAUAGCCACAUUCUUAAUCUUGAUCCUACCCACUUCCCCAUUCAUCUAGAAGGAAGAAAGGUAUGAAAGUGGGAUGAGUUAGGAAAAAUCCAUUGAAGAAAACUCCACAUGCAAGCUCCCCUGUGAAUGUCUGUGGGUAAAUUAAGUUAGACUCUUGAGAAAGUACAAGACCUCACAUAUCUGGAAACCAGCCAGGUGAGGUUCAAAGGGCAUAGAUAGGAUUAGGGCUCAUGUCAUCUGCUUUCUCUAGCCUGUUUUGUCCCAAAUCAAAACUUUCAGUAACUUGUACAUUCUCAGGUCCUUCAUUUGCAAAUCUAAGGUUAGCUCGACUAAGAUGGUACCACCACAGACAGACCUGAAAUCAAGACAAGGUUAGGAUCCUUAAGUAUUCCUCUGACACAAGCUGCCUAUCAUAUUUUGUAGAGGGGAGUUAACUUCUUCUCUCAUGAUCCUCAGUCACAAACCAUAUAUCCCAUAUGACCAUGAGGAUAAAAUCUCAGCUCAGGUCACUAAAGUCACCAGAAUGUGAGGGUUGGUCUAGCUGAACAUAUUCAAUGUCAAAUGCUAUAAACCUGAUGAUUCCUAUCAACCUGAAGAUUCCUCAUUUUCUUUUUCAGAUGAGGAAACUGAGAGCCAGAAGGGCUAAGGUCUCCAUCUGCCCUGGGUCACUCAAUCAAUGGAGUGGCAGAACCAUCAUUUGAACACAGGUUCCAUGAAUGGUAAAGGCAGCACAGGGUCACCAAGGAUGACAUCACUGUUGUCAAGAUGAGGAAACUGAGAGCCAGAAGGGCUAAGGUCUCCAUCUGCACUGGGUCACACAAUCAUGGAGUGGCAGAGCCAUCAUUAGAACACAGGUUCCAUGAAUGGUGAAGGCAGCACAGGGUCACCAAGGAUGACAUCACUGUUGUCAAGAUGAGGAAACUGAGAGCCAGAAGGGCUAAGGUCUCCAUCUGCCCUGGGUCUCUCAAUCAAUGGAGUGGCAGAACCAUCAUUUGAACACAGGUUCCAUGAAUGGUAAAGGCAGCACAGGGUCACCCAGGAUGACAUCACUGUUGUCAAGGUUUCUGGAAUGUUCCCACUAAUUGAGAUGAAAGGGAGGAGAGUAAAGAAUAAGGGGUCUGGGUGGAGGAGGAAAGUAGGGAAAGGGAGGAAUUAGGAGGGGUCAAAGAGAAAUUAAAAUAAAUGAAGAGGAAAUGGGAGGAGUAGAUUCUCAGAUGAUCCAAUUUAAGGUGGAAGGGCUCUCAGGGUCCAACUGCUCCAACCCUCUCCUUGGACAGAAAAGGCAGCUCAAGGCCAGAAAAGUUCACUGAUUGGCAAAGGUUCCCACAAGUAAUGCUGAGUAGAGCUGAGAUUUGGACUAAGGGCCUCUGUCUCCCAAGGUACUGUCUUUCAUUAGGCACUCUAACAUUCCCUCCAGCACAGAAAGGGAGAGAAAUAGGGGAUGGGCAGAAAAGUAAGAAGUUCCUAGAAGGAGGUGAGAAGAAGUGAGCUAAGGAGGAUGCAAUGGAAGGAGGAGGAGGAAUAGGUAUGAGAUUGUAAAGACAUUGAGGACUGAACAUGGAGAAGUGAGGAAAGGAUUGGGAAGAGAAAUUUGAAGAAAGCAUUUGUUUAGGGAGAAAAAUAAUAAGAGAAAAAAGAAAAAGGAAUUAAGGUGAAGAGACAAAAGGGGGACUGGGACAAGGCAGAGGAAUGAGGAAGGGAUGGACAGGAUGAGAAAAAAGUAUGGAGAGCAGGGAAAGGGUCAUAAAGAGGAGAAGGUGGGACAAGGGCACAGCAGGCAAUGGCUGGACAGCUCAAGUACCCCAAUCCUUAGAGGACACUGUCACAGGAAAAGACAUUAUUAGAGAUUCUUUUUCCUUUCUAAAUUUCAGGCUAGAUACAAUAAGGAAUUGUCCAUGGUUCCUGGAUGCCACAAAACAGAAGUGGGGACCUGGAGUAAUUGGCCAGGAAAGGACAAGGAAGGCUCAUCCAGCAGAGCCCAGGGUGAAGGAAUGACACUAGUGUGAGGUCACUAUUCAUAAGCUCCCAAAUGAAUACCCAGCUCCUCCUAAAGGCCUCUGCCCAUGCCCUUCACCUGUUGUGACUUUGGGCAUACUUUUCAGCCUAAUCCUCUGUGAUCCAGAGCAAGCAACCCCCCUGGCCAGAUUAGAAUCUUCAGGAGGCAUGAAUUCUAGGCUCAGCUCUGCUCCUAACUGUCCUUGUGGUGGCACAGUUACAUGGCCUGAAUAGGAGGGCAUUGGACUAGUUGGGAUCCAAGGAACCUUUGACACCUGCUGCCAGACUGUGAUUCUCAGAGUGACUGAGGGUCCUCUUGGUCACAGAUAUAAUUCCCACAAUAUGAAGUCAACGUAAGGGAGUCACAGACACUUCCUGUGCUUUUCCAUGGUCACAUUCUUAAUCAUGAUCCUACCCACUGCCCCAUUAAUCUAGAAGGAAGUCAGGUAUGAUAUUGGGAUGUUUUAGGAAAAAAAAACAUUAAAGAUGAAAAUCCACAGGCAAGCCCCCUCUGAAGGCCUGUGGGUAAAAUCAUGAUGGACUCUUGAGAAAGCACAGGACCUUGCAUAUCUGGAGGGCAGCAAGGAAAGGUUCAAAGGACAUGGAUAAGAUUAGGGCUCAUGUCAUCUGCUUUCUCUAGCCUGUUUUGCCACAAAUCAAAACUUUCAGUAAGUUGUACCUUCUCAGGUCCUUCAUUUGCAAAUCUAAGGUUAGCUCGACUAAGAUGGUACCACCACAGACAGUCCUGAAAUCAAGACAAGGUUAGGAUCCUUAAGUAUUCCUCUGACACAAGCUGCCUAUCAGAUUUUGUAGAGGGGAGUUAACUUCUUCUCUCAUGAUCCUCAGUCACAAACCAUAUAUCCCAUGUGACCAUGAGGAUAAAAUCUCAGCUCAGGUCACUAAAGUCACCAGAAUGUGAGGGUUGGUCUAGCUGAACAUAUUCAAUGUCAAAUGCUAUAAACCUGAUGAUUCCUAUCAACCUGAAGAUUCCUCAUUUUCUUUUUCAGAUGAGGAAACUGAGAGCCAGAAGGGCUAAGGUCUCCAUCUGCCCUGGUUCACUCAAUCAAUGGAGUGGCAGAACCAUCAUUUGAACACAGGUUCCAUCAAUGGUAAAGGCAGCACAGGGUCACCCAGGAUGACAUCACUGUUGUCAAGAUGAGGAAACUGAGAGCCAGAAGGGCUAAGGUCUCCAUCUGCCCUGGGUCACACAAUCAUGGAGUGGCAGAGCCAUCAUUAGAACACAGGUUCCAUGAAUGGUAAAGGCAGCACAGGGUCACCCAUGAAGGCAUCACUGUUGUCAAGGUUUCUGGAAUGUUCCCACUAAUUGUGAUGAAAGAGAGGAGAGUAAAGGAGGAGAGAAAAGAAGUUGGUGGGGGGCGUGGAGGGGGUAAAAGGAAUCUAGGGAAAGGGAUUAAUUAGGAGGGUUUAAAGAGAAAUUUAAAAAUAUAAAGAAAAAAUGGGAGGAGUAGAUUCUCAGAUGAUCCAAUUUAAGGUGGAAGGGCUCUCAGGGUCCAACUGCUCCAACCCUCUCCUUGGACAGAAAAGGCAGCUCAAGGCCAGAAAAGUUCACUGAUUGGCAAAGGUCCCCACAGGUAAUACCGAGUAGAGCUGAGAUUUGGUCUUAGGGCCUCUGUCUCCCAAGGUACUGUCUUUCAUGAGGCACUCUAACAUCACUCCAGCACUGAAAGGGACAAAAAUAGUGGUUGGACAGAAAAGAAAGAAGUUGGUGGAAGGAGUUGAGAGAAAAGUUUGCUGAUGAGGAUGCAAUGGAAUGAGGAGUAGGAAUAGGUAAGAGAUUGUAAAAACAUUGGGGAUUGAGCAUGGAGAAGUGAGGAAAGGAUUGGGAUGAGAAUAUUAAAGAAGAAAGCAUGGUUUAGGGAGAAAAUUGAAGGAAGGAGAUGGAAAAGAUUGAGGAGAAGGUAAACAGAAAAAAGAAAAAUUAAUUAAGUUGAAGUGACAGAAGGGGUUCCGGGACAAGGCAGAGAAAUGAUUAAAGAAAGCACAGGCGAUGAGUUGCAAGUAGAGAGACCAGCCAAAAGGUGAGGAAUAGGAGAAGGUUCUACAAGGGCACAGCAGGCAAUGGCUGGACAACUCCAGAACCCCAACACUUCCAGGACACUUUCACAUAGAGAUGCUUUUUCCUUCUAAAUUUCAGGAUAGAUAAAAUGAGGAAUUGACCAUGGUUCCUGGGUGCCACAGAGGAGAACCGGAGAUCUGGAGUAAUUGGCCAGGAAAAAACAGGGAAGGCUCAUCCAGCAGAGCCCUGGAUGAAGGAAAGACUCUAGUGUUACGUCACUAAUCAUAAGCUCCCAAAUUAAUACCCAGUUCCUCCUAAAGCCCUCUACCCAUUCACUUCACCUGUUGUGACUUUGGGCAUACUUUUCCACCUAAUAGUCUGAUCCACAGCAAGCAGAAGCCUUGGCCAGAUUAGAAUCUUCAGGAGAAAUAAAUUCUAGCCUCAGCUCUGCUCCUAACUGUCAAUGGAUGACAGUCUUUGUGGUGGCACAGAUACAUGCCCUGAAAAAGAGGGCAUUGGACUAGAUGGGAUCCAAGGAACCUUUGACACCUGCUGCCAGGCUGUGAUUCUCAGAAUGACUGAGGGUCCUCUUGAUCACAGAUAUAAUGCCCUCAAUAUUAAGCCAAGGUAAAGGAGUCAAAGGCACUUCCUUUGCUUUUUCCAUAGCCACAUUCUUAAUCUUGAUCCUACCCACUUCCCCAUUCAUCUAGAAGGAAGAAAGGUAUGAAAGUGGGAUGAAUUAGGAAAAAUCCAUUGAAGAAAACUCCACAUGCAAGCUCCCCUGUGAAUGUCUGUGGGUAAAUUAAGUUAGACUCUUGAGAAAGUACAAGACCUCACAUAUCUGGAAACCAGCCAGGUGAGGUUCAAAGGGCAUAGAUAGGAUUAAGGCUCAUGUCAUCUGCUUUCUCUAGCCUGUUUUGUCCCAAAUCAAAACUUUCAGUAACUUGUACAUUCUCAGGUCCUUCAUUUGCAAAUCUAAGGUUAGCUCGACUAAGAUGGUACCACCACAGACAGUCCUGAAAUCAAGACAAGGUUAGGAUCCUUAAGUAUUCCUCUGACACAAGCUGCCUAUCAGAUUUUGUAGAGGGGAGUUAACUUCUUCUCUCAUGAUCCUCAGUCACAAACCAUAUAUCCCAUAUGACCAUGAGGAUAAAAUCUCAGCUCAGGUCACUAAAGUCACCAGAAUGUGAGGGUUGGUCUAGCUGAACAUAUUCAAUGUCAAAUGCUAUAAACCUGAUGAUUCCUAUCAACCUAAAGAUUCCUCAUUUUCUUUUUCAGAUGAGGAAACUGAGAGCCAGAAGGGCUAAGGUCUCCAUCUGCCCUGGGUCACUCAAUCAAUGGAGUGGCAGAACCAUCAUUUGAACACAGGUUCCAUGAAUGGUAAAAGCAGCACAGGGUCACCCAGGAUGACAUCACUGUUGUCAAGGUUUCUGGAAUGUUCCCACUAAUUGAGAUGAAAGGGAGGAGAGUAAAGAAUAAGGGGUCUGGGUGGAGGAGGAAAGUAGGGAAAGGGAGGAAUUAGGAGGGGUCAAAGAGAAAUUAAAAUAUAUGAAGAGGAAAUGGGAGGAGUAGAUUCUCAGAUGAUCCACUUUAAGGUGGAAGGGCUCUCAGGGUCCAACUGCUCCAACCCUCUCCUUGGACAGAAAAGGCAGCUCAAGGCCAGAAAAGUUCACUGAUUGGCAAAGGUUCCCACAGGUAAUGCUGAGUAGAGCUGAGAUUUGGACUAAGGGCCUCUGUCUCCCAAGGUACUGUCUUUCAUUAGGCACUCUAACAUUCCCUCCAGCACAGAAAGGGAGAGAAAUAGGGGAUGGGCAGAAAAGUAAGAAGUUCCUAGAUGGAGGUGAGAAGAAGUGAGCUAAGAAGGAUGCAAUGCAAGGAGGAGGAGGAAUAGGUAUGAGAUUGUAAAGACAUUGAGGACUGAGCAUGGAGAAGUGAGGAAAGGAUUGGGAAGAGAAAUUUGAAGAAAGCAUUUGUUUAGGGAGAAAAAUAAGAGAAAAAAGAAAAAGGAAUUAAGGUGAAGAGACAAAAGGGGGACUGGGACAAGGCAGAGGAAUGAGGAAGGGAUGGACAGGAUGAGAAAAAAGUAUGGAGAGCAGGGAAAGGGUCAUAAAGAGGAGAAGGUAGGACAAGGGCACAGCAGGCAAUGGCUGGACAGCUCAAGUACCCCAAUCCUUAGAGGACACUGUCACAGGAAAAGACAUUAUUAGAGAUUCUUUUUCCUUUCUAAAUUUCAGGCUAGAUACAAUAAGGAAUUGUCCAUGGUUCCUGGAUGCCACAAAACAGAAGUGGGGACCUGGAGUAAUUGGCCAGGAAAGAACAGGGAAGGCUCAUCCAGCAGAGCCCAGGGUGAAGGAAUGACACUAGUGUGAGGUCACUAUUCAUAAGCUCCCAAAUGAAUACCCAGCUCCUCCUAAAGACCACUGCCCAUGCCCUUCACCUGUUGUGACUUUGGGCAUACUUUUCAGCCUAAUCCUCUGUGAUCCAGAGCAAGCAACCCCCCUGGCCAGAUGAGAAUCUUCAGGAGGCAUGAAUUCUAGGCUCAGCUCUGCUCCUAACUGUCCUUGUGGUGGCACAGUUACAUGCCCUGAAUAGAAGGGCAUUGGACUAGUUGGGAUCCAAGGAACCUUUGACACCUGCUGCCAGACUGUGAUUCUCAGAGUGACUGAGGGUCCUCUUGGUCACAGAUAUAAUUCCCACAAUAUGAAGUCAACGUAAGGGAGUCACAGACACUUCCUGUGCUUUUCCAUGGUCACAUUCUUAAUCAUGAUCCUACCCACUGCCCCAUUAAUCUAGAAGGAAGUCAGGUAUGAUAUUGGGAUGUGUUAGGAAAAAAACCCAUUAAAGAUGAAAAUCCACAGGCAAGCCCCCCCCUGAAGGCCUGUGGGUAAAAUCAUGAUGGACUCUUGAGAAAGCACAGGACCUUGCAUAUCUGGAGGGCAGCAAGGUAAGGUUCAAAGGACAUAGAUAAGAUUAGGGCUCAUGUCAUCUGCUUUCUCUAGCCUGUUUUGCCACAAAUCAAAACUUUCAGUAAGUUGUACCUUCUCAGGUCCUUCAUUUGCAAAUCUAGGCCUAGCCAGCCUAGAUGGUGCCACAGCAGACAGUCCUGCAAUCAAGACAAGGUUAGGAUCUUAAAGUAUUCCUCUGCCGCCAGCAGCCUAUCAGAUGUUGUAGAGGGGAGUUAACUACUUCUAUCAUGAUCCUCAGUCACAAAGCAUAUAUCCCAUAUGACCAUCAGCCUAUCCUGAGGGAUAAAAUCUCAGCUCAGGUCACUAAAGUCAUCAGAAUGUGAGCGUUGGUCUAGCUGAAAAUACAACAUUUUAUUCAAGGUCAAAUCCUAUCAACCUGAUGAUUCCUAUCAACCUGAGGAUUCCUCAUUUUCUUUUUCAGAUGAGAAAACUGAGAGCCAGGAGGGCUAAUGUCUCCAUCUGCCCUGGGUCACACAAUCAUGGAGUGGCAGAGCCAUCAUUAGAACACAGGUUCCAUGAAUGUUAAAGGCAGCACAGGGUCACCCAGGAUGACAUCACUGUUGUCAAGAUUUCUGGAAUGUUCCCACUAAUUGUGAUGAAAGGGAGGAGAGGAAAGGAAGAGAGGAAGCCUAGAUACAAUAAGGAAUUGUCCAUGGUUCCUGGAUGCCACAAAACAGAAGUGGGGACCUGCAGUUAUUGGCCAGGAAAGGUGAGGGAAGGCUCAUCCAGCAGAGCCCAGGGUGAAGGAAUGACACUAGUGUAAGGUCACUAUUCAUAAGCUCCCAAAUGAAUACCCAGCUCCUCCUAAAGGCCUCUGCCCAUGCCUUUCAUCUCUUGUGACUUUGGGCAUACUUUUCAGCCUAAUCCUCUGUGAUCCAGAGCAAGCAACCCCCCUGGCCAGAUUAGAAUCUUCAGGAGGCUUGAAUUCUAGGCACAGCUCUGCUCCUAACUGUCCUUGUGGUGGCACAGUUACAUGCCCUGAAUAGGAGGGCAUGGGACUAGUUGGGAUCCAAGGAACCUUUGACACCUGCUGCCAGACUGUGAUUCUCAGAGUGGCUGAGGGUCCUCUUGGUCACAGAUAUAAUGCCCACAAUAUGAAGCCAAGGUAAAGGAGUCUCAGGCACUUCCUUUGAUUUUCCAUGGUCACAUUCACAAUCUUGAUCCUACCCACUGCCCCAUUCAUCCAGAAGGAAGUCAGGUAUGAUAUUGGGAUGUGUUAGGAAAAAAACCCAUUAAAGAUGCAAAUCCACAGGCAAGCCCCCUCUGAAAGCCUAUAGGUAAAAUCACCUUGUACUCUUCAGAAAGCACAGGACCUUGCAUAUUUGGAGGGCAGCAAGGUAAGGUUCAAAGGACAUGGAUAAGAUUAGGGCUCAUGUCAUCUGCUUUCUCUAGCCUGUUUUGCCACAAAUCAAAACUUUCAGUAAGUUGUACCUUCUCAGGUCCUUCAUUUACAAAUCUAGGCCUAGCCAGACUAAGAUGGUGCUACCACAGACAGUCCUGCAAUCAAGACAAGUUUAGGAUCUUAAAGUAUUCCUCUGGCGCCAGCUGCCUAUCAGAUGUUGUAGAGGGGAGUUAACUUCUUCUCUCAUGAUCCUCAGUCACAAAGCAUAUAUCCCAUAUGACCAUCAGCCUAUCCUGAGGGAUAAAAUCUCAGCUCAGGUCACUAAAGUCACCAGAAUGUGAGGGUUGGUCUAGCUGAACAUACAACAUUUUAUUCAAGGUCAAAUGCUAUCUACCUGAUGAUUCCUAUCAACCUGUAGAUUCCUCAUUUUCUUUUUCAGAUGAGGAAACUGAGAUUCAGAAAGGCUAAGGUCUCCAUCUGCCCUGGGUCACACAAUCAUGGAGUGGCAGAGCCAUCAUUAGAACACAGGUUCCAUGAAUGGUACAGGUAGCACAGGGUCACCCAGGAUGACAUCACUUUUGUCAAGGUUUCUGGAAUGUUCCCACUAAUUGUGAUGAAAGGGAGGAGAGUAAAGGAGGAGAGGAAAGAAUUUGGUGGGGGGCGUGGAGGGGGUAAAAGGAAUCUAGGGAAAGGGAUUAAUUAGGAGGGUUUAAAGAGAAAUUUAAAAAUAUAAAGAGAAAAUGGGAGGAGUAGAUUUUCAGAUGAUCCAAUUUAAGGUGGAAGGGCUCUCAGGGUCCAACUGCUCCAACCCUCUCCUUGGACAGAAAAGGCAGCUCAAGGCCAGAAAAGUUCACUGAUUGGCAAAGGUCCCCACAGGUAAUACCGAGUAGAGCUGAGAUUUGGACUUAGGGCCUCUCUCUCCCAAGGUACUGUCUUUCAUGAGGCACUCUAACAUUCCCUCCAGCACUGAAAGGGACAAAAAUAGUGGUUGGACAGAAAAGAAAGAAGUUGGUGGAAGGAGUUGAGAGAAAAGUUUGCUGAUGAGGAUGCAAUGGAAUGAGGAGUAGGAAUAGGUAAGAGAUUGUAAAGACAUUGGGGAUUGAGCAUGGAGAAGUGAGGAAAGGAUUGGGAUGAGAAUAUUGAAGAAGAAAGCAUGGUUUAGGGAGAAAAUUGAAGGAAGGAGAUGGAAAAGAUUGAGGAGAAGGUAAACAGAAAAAAGAAAAAUGAAUUAAGUUGAAGUGACAGAAGGGGUUCUGGGACAAGGCAGAGAAAUGAUUAAAGAAAGCACAGGCAAUGAGAUGCAACUAGAGAGACCAGCCAAAAGGUGAGGAAGAGGAGAAGGUUCGACAAGGGCACAGCAGGCAAUGGCUGGACAUCUCCAGAACCCCAACACUUCCAGGACACUUUCACAUAGAGAUGCUUUUUCCUUCUAAAUUUCAGGAUAGAUAAAAUGAGGAAUUGACCAUGGUUCCUGGGUGCCACAGAGGAGAACCGGAGAUCUGGAGUAAUUGGCCAGGAAAAAACAGGGAAGGCUCAUCCAGCAGAGCCCUGGAUGAAGGAAAGACUCUAGUGUUACGUCACUAAUCAUAAGCUCCCAAAUUAAUACCCAGUUCCUCCUAAAGCCCUCUACCCAUUCACUUCACCUGUUGUGACUUUGGGCAUACUUUUCCACCUAAUAGUCUGAUCCACAGCAAGCAGAAGGCUUGGCCAGAUUAGAAUCUUCAGGAGAAAUAAAUUCUAGCCUCAGCUCUGCUCCUAACUGUCAAUGGAUGACAGUCUUUGUGGUGGCACAGAUACAUGCCCUGAAAAAGGGGGCAUUGGACUAGAUGGGAUCCAAGGAACCUUUGACACCUGCUGCCAGGCUGUGAUUCUCAGAAUGACUGAGGGUCCUCUUGAUCACAGAUAUAAUGCCCUCAAUAUUAAGCCAAGGUAAAGGAGUCAAAGGCACUUCCUUUGCUUUUUCCAUAGCCACAUUCUUAAUCUUGAUCCUACCCACUUCCCCAUUCAUCUAGAAGGAAGAAAGGUAUGAAAGUGGGAUGAGUUAGGAAAAAUCCAUUGAAGAAAACUCCACAUGCAAGCUCCCCUGUGAAUGUCUGUGGGUAAAUUAAGUUAGACUCUUGAGAAAGUACAAGACCUCACAUAUCUGGAAACCAGCCAGGUGAGGUUCAAAGGGCAUAGAUAGGAUUAGGGCUCAUGUCAUCUGCUUUCUCUAACCUGUUUUGCCACAAAUCAAAACUUUCAGUAAGUUGUACAUUCUCAGCUCCUUCAUUUGCAAAUCUAAGGUUAGCUAGACUAAGAUGGUACCACCACAGACAGUCCUGAAAUCAAGACAAGGUUAGGAUCCUUAAGUAUUCCUCUGACACAAGCUGCCUAUCAGAUUUUGUAGAGGGGAGUUAACUUCUUCUCUCAUGAUCCUCAGUCACAAACCAUAUAUCCCAUAUGACCAUGAGGAUAAAAUCUCAGCUCAGGUCACUAAAGUCACCAGAAUGUGAGCGUUGGUCUAGCUGAACAUAUUCAAUGUCAAAUGCUAUAAACCUGAUGAUUCCUAUCAACCUGAAGAUUCCUCAUUUUCUUUUUCAGAUGAGGAAACUGAGAGCCAGGAGGGCUAAGGUCUCCAUCUGCCCUGGGUCACUCAAUCAAUGGAGUGGCAGAACCAUCAUUUGAACACAGGUUCCAUGAAUGGUAAAGGCAGCACAGGGUCACCAAGGAUGAUAUCACUAUUGUCAAGAUAAGGAAACUGAGAACCCGAAGGGCUAAGGUCUCCAUCUGCCUUGGGUCACACAGUCAUAGAGUGGCUGAGCCAUCAUUUGAACACAGGAUCCAUGAAUGGUAAAAUGAGGAAACUGAGAGCCAGAAGGGCUAAGGUCUACAUCUGCCCUGAGUCACACAAUUAUGGAGUGGCAGAGCCAUCAUUUGAACAUAGGUUCCAUGAAUGGUAAAGGCAGCACAGGGUCACCAAGGAUGACAUCACUGUUGUCAAGGUUUCUGGAAUGUUCCCACUAAUUGUGAUGAAAGGGAGGAGAGGAAAGGAGGAGAGGAAAGAAUAAGGGGUUUGGGUGGAGGAGGAAACUAGGGAAAGGGAGGAAUUAGGAGGGGUCAAAGAGAAAUUAAAAUAUAUGAAGAGGAAACGGGAGGAGUAGAUUCUCAGAUGAUCCAAUUUAAGGUGGAAGGGCUCUCAGGGUCCAACUGCUCCAACCCUCUCCUUGGACAGAAAAGGCAGUUCAAGGCCAGAAAAGUUCACUGACUGGCAAAGGAUCCCACAGGUAAUACAGAUCAGAGAUGAGAUUUGGACUUAGGACCUCUGUCUCCCAAGGUACUGUCUUUUAUUAGGCACUCUAACAUUCCCUCCAGCACAGAAAGGGAGAGAAAUGGGGGAUGGGCAGAAAAGUAAGAAGUUGGUAGAAGGAGGUGAGAAGAAGUGAGCUAAAGAGGAUGCAAUGGAAUGAGGAAGAGGAAUAGGUAAGAGAUUAUAAAGACAUUGAGGAUUGAGCAUGGAGAAGUGAGGAAAGGAUUGGGAAGAGAAAUUUGAAGAAAGCAUGUGUUUAGGGAGAAAAAUAGUAAGAGAAAAAAGAAAAAGGAAUGAAGGUGAAGAGACAAAAGGGGGACUGGGACAAGGCAGAGGAAUGAGGAAGGGAUGGACAGGAUGAGAAAAAAGUAUGGAGAGCAGGGAAAGGGUCAUAAAGAGGAGAAGGUAGGACAAGGGCACAGCAGGCAAUGGCUGGACAGCUCAAGUACCCCAAUCCUUAGAGGACACUGUCACAGGAAAAGACAUUAUUAGAGAUUCUUUUUCCUUUCUAAAUUUCAGCCUAGAUACAAUAAGGAAUUGUCCAUGGUUCCUGGAUGCCACAAAACAGAAGUGGGGACCUGGAGUAAUUGGCCAGGAAAGGACAAGGAAGGCUCAUCCAGCAGAGCCCAGGGUGAAGGAAUGACACUAGUGUGAGGUCACUAUUCAUAAGCUACCAAAUGAAUACCCAGCUCCUCCUAAAGGCCUCUGCCCAUGCCCUUCACCUGUUGUGACUUUGGGCAUACUUUUCAGCCUAAUCCUCUGUGAUCCAGAGCAAGCAACCCCCCUGGCCAGAUUAGAAUCUUCAGGAGGCAUGAAUUCUAGGCUCAGCUCUGCUCCUAACUGUCCUUGUGGUGGCACAGUUACAUGCCCUGAAUAGGAGGGCACUGGACUAGUUGGGAUCCAAGGAACCUUUGACACCUGCUGCCAGACUGUGAUUCUCAGAGUGACUGAGGGUCCUCUUGGUCACAGAUAUAAUUCCCACAAUAUGAAGUCAACGUAAGGGAGUCACAGACACUUCCUGUGCUUUUCCAUAGUCACAUUCUUAAUCAUGAUCCUACCCACUGCCCCAUUCAUCUAGAAGGAAGUCAGGUAUGAUAUUGGGAUGUGUUAGGAAAAAAACCCAUUAAAGAUGCAAAUCCACAGGCAAGCGCCCUCUGAAAGCCUAUAGGUAAAAUCACCUUGUACUCUUCAGAAAGCACAGGACCUUGCAUAUUUGGAGGGCAGCAAGGUAAGGUUCAAAGGACAUGGAUAAGAUUAGGGCUCAUGUCAUCUGCUUUCUCUAGCCUGUUUUGCCACAAAUCAAAACUUUCAGUAAGUUGUACCUUCUCAGGUCCUUCAUUUGCAAAUCUAGGCCUAGCCAGACUAAGAUGGUGCCACAUUCACAUUCAGAGUUAUGAUUAUUAUCUGUUUAUUUCCCAGCAUUUUGAUUUCUAUUCCUUGACCUGACUUUUCUUCUUUCACUAUUCUCUUCUACACCAAUGUUUGUUUAUAAUUAGUCCCCCUAGUUUCCACCCUUAUUUUAGUUCCCUUUCUACCCCUCCCUUUUUAUUCCCCCACUUAUUUACCUGUAGUCUUUCUACAGGGAAUUGUCCACCCACCUUCUCCCUCCCUUGUACUGCUUCCCUCCCCACCAGUCCAUUUGUUAGCCUUCUACUCCUCCUAUAGAGUACAAAUCUAUUCUCUGCCCCAAUGGAUUCGAUAAGAGUUGAGUAUUUUCUAUCUCCAACCGCUUUACCCUUCCAGUGUAUUGAUGUUCUCCCCUCUCCUGCCAUGAUCUUCUUUGUGAAAUAUAAAUUAACCCCCAUUUGUUUCUUUUCCCAUUUCUUUUAGUAUUAACCUCUUUUUUAUCUCUAGUUAUAUCUAUCUACAUGUAUAUAUAUAUACACACACGUAUAUGUAUUUAUGCAUGCAUAUAUCUAUAUACCUAUUUAUGUCUUGUCCUUUCAUCCUAUACAGUUUGUCACUGUUCCCUCUAAGUGUAAUUCUUCUACAUGCCCAGGUGACAGCAACAGUUUUUAAGAGUUACCAAUGACCUCUUUUCUUAUAGGGAUACAUAUCAUUUUAAUUUAUUGAGUCUUUAAAAACUUUUUGUUGUUGUUUUAUUUUUCAUUUUCCCCUCUUUUUAAUUACCUUUUGAUGAUUCUCUUGAGUUCUGUGCUUGGACAAAUGGCUGAGGUUCAUUGUGGGCACAGAGAUAAUGCCUAGAAAAUGAAGCCAAGGUCAGGAUGACUCAGCGACCUCCUUUGCUUUUUCCAUGGUUACUUUCCUAAUCUUGUUCCCAUCCCUUUUCCCCUUGAUCUUGAAAGAAGCCAGGUAUGGGAGUGGUAUGAGUAAGGAAAAAACAACAUUGAGAUAACUUCAUAGGCAAGCCCUUCUGAAAGUAUUGGGUUAAAAUCAUGUUGGACUAUUUAGAAAGCACAAGUCCUUGAAUAUGUGGAAGGCAGCAAGGUGAGGUACAAAGGGCAUGGAUAGGAGUAGGACUCAUGUCAUCUGCUUUCACUAGCCUGUUUUGCCCCAAAUCAAAAGUUUCAGUAAGUUUUAACUUCUCUAUAGGCUUCAGAUUCUUCAUUUGCAAAGGCUGGCCUUGGCAGACUAAGAUGUUGAUAUAAGAAUCAGUGUUGCAAUCAAGACAAGAUUGGGAUUCAAAAGUUUGCUUCUGACACAAGCUGGCUUUGAGACUUUGCACUCAGGACUUCACUUCUCCCCAAAAUCUUCUGUUAGAAAAGAAAAACACAUAUGAUCAUCAGUCUAGACUGAGGGAUGAAAUCUCAGGUCAGGUCACUAAAGUCUGCAAAAAGUGAGGGCUGAUCUAGGUGAGAGCACAACAUUUUAUUUAAGGUCAAAUCCUAUCAACCUGAAGAUUCCUCAUUUUAUUUUUUCAGAUGAGGAAAAUUAGAGCCAGAAGGUCCAAGGUAUCCAUCUGCCCUGGGUCACAGAAACAAAGCUAUCAUUUUAACACAUGUUCUUUGACUUCCAAGGCAGCACACUGUUGUCAAGGGUAACAUCACUGUUUCUAAGAUUUUUGCAAUGAUGCCACUAAAUGUGAUGAUUGAAGGCAUAUUGAUAAAAGGGCAAUACGAUGAGAGGAAAGUAUUAGAACUGGAAAGGGGAAAGAAGAGGGAGGGAAGGAAGAAUAUAAAGGAAAUUUGAAAACUAGGAAGGGGAAGGAGUCAAUCCUAGAACCAUUCAUUGAAUAAUGGAGGUGAGCUCAGAUGCCAUCUAGUCCAACCAUUGCAUUUGACAGAAAAUGAAUUGUAGGGUAUAAAAAUUCAAUGUCUUGCUCAGGAUCACAAAGGGAAUAAGGUUUACAGAUCAGAUUUGGAUCCAGGGCCUCUAUCUCCCUAGGCUCUCUUCUAGGGAGUGAAAGUAACUUUCCCUGGAAAUGAGAAAUGAGAGGAACAAGGAUUCUGAGAAGAGAAGCUGGCAGAAGGAGGAGAGUGAAAACUGUGGCCAGACUAAGGGAAGAGGAUGAUGAGGAAGAGGUGAAGGGAGAAAUGUUUGAGAAGAGACUUUGGAGGCUGAGAAUGGAGAGGACAGAAGGGAAGAGGAAGGAGGAGAAGCAAUGAUGUAUUUGGAGAGAGAACUAAUGGUCUGAGAGAGGACGAAUGAAGGGUAGAGAAAUAGUUAAAAGGGGAAGGCAUAAAGAAGAAUUAGAGAGACAAAAGAGGGGCUGAGGUAAGGGAGAGGAAGGAGGAAGAAAAGGACAGGGAAUGAAAGGAAACUAGUAACAAGGUAAGACAAAGAUGGGAGACAUCUUCAGGACUCUGACCCCAACACUACACUGCCUUCCCUCCAGCUGUCCUUCCAUCCCCUGUGUUUUAAAGGAAGCAUCCUCUCUCCUCAGCUUAGUAUAUUCAAGAGUCAUGGGUUUUAGGGUGAGCUUUGUCAUUGGGCCCUUCACUAUAGCCCAGUUAACUCCUCUGGAAAAGAAGGGCUUGGACUAGUUGGGAUCUAAAGUACCCUUUGACUCUACUGACAGCCUAAGAGUGACUAAGGGGUCUGUCAAGGGAGAAAGAAAAUUCAGAGAUAAACAAGGCAAAGUCAGGAAGUCAUAGGGACCACAGAGCUUUUUUUCUUUUAUGGUGGCAUUCUUAAUCCCACCCAUUUUUUUCUAUCAAUCCUGAAGGAAGCCAUGUGUGAGGGUUGAAUGUGUCAGAAAAAAAUAUUUCAAAAAUCAAGCUCUACUGAAAGUCUGAAAAUGAUAUAUUUGUGUAAAGAGUACAAUUGCUUGGGUAUGUUGAAGGCAGUAUGGUGAGAUAUAAAGUGCAUAUAUCAAUUCCCAAUUUUGCAAAGAAACCACCUCAGUGAAGUUGCUCCUCAUCUCCUCAUGUCUCAAUUUCUUUAGUAUUUGCAAAGUUAGAGAUAUAGAGGCAGAAUAGCUUAUUUUAUAUAUAUAUAUAUAUAGUCUUGUAAUCAGGACAAAAAGAUUUUGAUUCAAAUUCUGCCUCUGAGAGCUGUGGUCAAGGGACUUAACCUUUCCUCUCCCGCUAAGUACUUUCUCAGAUUUGAAAUUAUCAAUAUUUUGUACAUCUGAACAGUUGAAGGGAAGAAAUCACCUGUCAGGUCCCUCACUUCGCAGCAAAAUAAUCAAUGGAAGCAAGGAAAGAGGAAGCUGAAGUAGAUGAUAUUUCUAAGGUUUAUCCUGUUUUGAAUCUUGUGAUUUUGAAGAUUGAUCAUUAUAAUUUUACAGAAGAGGGAACUGAAAAAGAAAGGUUUAAGCUCUUCCAGCUGUCUGGAGUUAUACAGACAUUAAGGGGUAAAGGCACAAUUUGAAUAGUUAGUUCCUAACUCCCAAAAUAGCAAAAUUUUGCCAAGGAGGACAUCUCUGGUUCCAGAUUCAAUGGAAGAAACACCAAUAUUGACAGGUUUGUAUUGGGGUGGAGAGAGGGAAGAGAGGAGAGAAAAGAGGAGAGAGAAAAGUAUGAGGGAGGGGAAGGGUGAGGAAUCUAUCAUAGGAUCAAACAUUUUGAGGCCGAAGGGUCCUCAGAGGCCAUCUAGUCCAACCCUCUUACUUGACAGAAAAGAAAAAUGAAGUCUCAGGAAGUUCAAGAUCACACAGGUAAUAAAAAUAAAAGAUGGGAUUGGAACCCAGGACCUCUGUCUCCCCAGGCUCAGUCCUUCCAUCAGAGAGGAGAGGGAGGAGGGAAAGUUUUGGGAAGAAGAGAGAGGAAGCUGGGGAAGGUGGUUUAGAGGAAUUGGAUGGAAGGACAGGAGGAGGAAGGGUAACAGUAGAGGAAGAAUCUUGUGGGACAUUGAGAAGAGAUGAGGAGAGGAAAGAGGAGGAAAUGAUGGGUUUCGAGAAAAAGGAAGAGUAUAAGGGAGUGAAAAAGGUGGGAAACUACAGAAAAGGGGAGGGCUAAAAAGGAUGUAGAGAGACAAUGGAGGCAAAGGAGAAAAAGAAGAGGGCAGAGUGGGAAAGAAGGGAGAGAGAGAAAAAGUGAAUCCUGGUAAAAUAGGCAAGAAUCUGGACAGUUCUGGAGCUCUGACUCCCAUACCACACUACCCCUAUGGGGAAGGGAGUGUUUUGAGCUUGUCUUUCCUCUCUGAGUUGCAGAGUGGGAAAAGUCAAGGUCAGCAUGAACAGGAGGGUGAUAAUCUGAAGACCCUGACCAGUUAAGUAAGGAGAAGGAAGGUUCAUCAAUCAAACACCAAGGUGAUGGGGUAGAAGUAGGGGGAAGGCUGUAUUUAGAAACACCUAUAUUAAACCCAUCCCAUACAAGGGGCUGUCCCCACCUACACUUCACAUGCUCUGACUCUAGGAACAUCUGCUCUCCUACCAGCUGUCCUCCCUCCAACUUGUGUUGUACAAGAGAGCCUCCCUGCACAAAAUACAAUAUUCAGGAGACCUGGGUUCUAAUGUCAGUUCUGCUUCUGUCACUAGACCCUUCCCUGUGGCUCAGUGUCCUCUCCUGUAAAAGGAGGUUUUGGAAUUAUUUGGAAUCUUAAGGACCCUUUAGCAAUUUUGAUAGCCUGUGAUUCUAGGUGUGGCUGAGGGUGAGCAGAGAUAAUCAAUACAAGGUCAAGAAGUCAUUGAAUCCAACUAGCUUUACUUUUUCCAUGAUCAUAUUCCUAUGUUUGAUCCUACCCAUUUUCGCCUAGAUCCUGAAGGAAGCCAGGAGUGAGAAUAGGAUGGAUAAAAAACCAAUCCAUUGGGAAAACAAAUCCAAGAUCUAUUGAAAGUGUAUUAGUAAAAUCAUUUUUGUCUAUCCAGAGCACACAAUUGCUUGUAUGUGCAGAAGGCAGAAUGGUGAGGAAGAAAGCGUGAAUGGGAUUAGAGUUCAUAGGUUCUGAUUUAAUUUCCCAAUUUUACCCCCCUAAACUUCCUAUGCGACUUCUAACAAGUUGCACCCCCUAAGCCUUGGUUUCUUUAUUUGCAAAGUCGGGGUACAAAGGCAGAAUAUGAUCCUGGAUAAAUUCACAGUCUUAUAAUCAAGACAAAAUCUGGAUUCAAAAGACUGCCUCUGACAUCUGUUGGCUUUGUGACCUUGGGCAAGGGACUAAACCUCUUACCUCCCUUAAGAUACUUUCUCAGUGUAAAUAACUAAUAUAUUGCAAAUUGGCAUAGGCUAAGGUAUGAAAUCUUAGGUCUGACACCUUCACUGCUCUAAAGAAAAAGUUCUCAAAUAAGAGAGUUGUACUAGAUUAGACUUCUAAGGUAUAUUUUAAAUACUAUAAUCUUGAUUUUUUUCAUUUUACAGAUGAAAAAACUGAGAGCUAGAAGGGGUCUCUAUCUGCCCCAAGACAUAUAAUUUAGUGUCAGAGCCCAAAUGAUACAAAUUCUCUCACUCUCAAGCUAGCACACUGUUUUCAAGAUCUGUAGAAUAAUUCCACUAGUGGUUACAGCAUAGGGGAGAGGGAGGGAAAAGGGGAAGAGAAAAUGUAGAAGAGAUAAGGAGGAAGGAAGAGGGUUAGAGAGGGGGGAAAGGUGAGAAGAAAGAGAAAAGGAAAGCAUAACGGAAGAGAAAGGGGGCCUUCAGAGGCCAUCUCGUCCACUCCUCUCAUGGGAUAGAAAAUGAAGCUGAAGCCCAGCAAAUUUCUGUGAUUUGCCUAGGAUCAUACUGGAAGUAAAGAGAAGAAAUGGGAUUUGAAUCCAGGUCCUCUGACUCCCAAAGCAAUGCUUUUUCCAUUCCAGGACUCUGUAUUCCCUUAUUUCUUAGAUGUGAAGUAAGGAAGAAAAGUGGUAGAGUGAAGGGAGGAGAGAGGAGGAAAGGAUAGUGUGAGAAAGGGGAGUAAACGGCAGGCAAUGGAAAAGGGUGGGGGAGAUGGAAGGGUGGAAAAGGAAGGGGAAGGACAUAAAUUUGUAGCUGGAAAGGAUCUCAGAGAUUCUUGUGAGCAGCCUUCUUGAUUUAUCGGCAAUGGAUGUAAAGCCCAGGAAAGUCAAGUGGCUUUGUUUGGGUUACACAAGGAGUCAAAGUGUCAAAAGAGUCAAAGUGAAGAUUUGAAUCUAGAUCUUGCUCCUGAGGUAUUGUUAUUCCUACUAAAGGCCUCUCUGUUCUCCAUCUCAUGGGGUUUGGGGAGAGAAGGAAAGGGUAGGAGGUGAUCAUAUCAGCAAGCAUUUGGAAGGGACCUUAAAGACCAUCUAAUCUAACUUUUUUCUCAUAGAGAAGAUGCCACUGAACUGAAUGCUAUGAAAAUUAAGUGACUUUCCCAAGAUGAUACAGGUAAUAAGAUGGGAUUUGAACCCAGGGUUCCAUGACAAGGGCUGCUACUCUUUUCACUACAGGAUUCAGCCUUCAUUCGGGAGAGAAAAUGGGGAAGGAAUGACGAAAGGGUAGAAAGAGGGAGAUUGGGGAAUAGGAGAAAAUAAGAUAGGGAAAGUAAAGAAAGAAUGAAGUGUAUUGAGGGAAGGAAGGAGAAAGAAAGGGUGGAGACAAGAAAAAAUGUUGAUGGGGUAUGGGAAGAGAAGAAAUAGAAGGGAAGGAAAACAAAGGAUGCAGGAGGAACAAAAGGAGGGUGAGGAAAGGGGAAAAAGAGCCAGGGACAAUGAGGAAGAGGACUAGAUGGAGCAGGGACUUACACUAGGAAAAUGUGGGAGAGGGGAGACAGGAGAAGAGGAAGGCUUCAGUCAGGGAGGCUGGACAGCUCCAGAGCUUGGUAGCUCCAGUUAGAAGUGGAGCACUGCUAAGAGGUUUCAUUCCAGCUUUGGAGGUUUAGAGCUGGAGACAAACUGCCUACUUCCUCUUCUUGGGUCCUUUGGCUACACUUUGUAUAGGCUGCUAGCAGGUGACUAGGUAAAGGUGUCUCAUUGCCCAAAAAACAGACCUUAAAAAUUAGAAUUCUGUCCAUAGCAGUACCUACACUCAAGAGAUGUUGUGAGGAUGAAAUGAAAUAAUAUUUGUAAAAGUUCUUAGCACAGUGCCUGGCUUAUAAACUCAUUAUAUUAUACUGCUUAUAAGCAGUAAAUGCUUAUUCCCUUUCUUUCAGCAUACUGUAGUAGAAAGAGAGCUGGCCUUAGAGUCAAGUAUAUCCAGGUCCAUUCCCUGCCUGUGACAUACCAGCUUUAGGAACAUGAGCAAGACAUUUACCCUUGAGUGUCCUAGGAACAAAGCUCACUAGUUAAAACCAGAAAUGAUAGAAAAUUGCUUGUCAUGUUUCUGUUAACUUACACAAAGAGUUCCCUGAACUGAUGAAAUUUUUAAAAGCCCAGUCCCACUUCUCAAUAAAAUAAAAUAAAUCAAAACAGUACUAAAAGUAAAAUAAUUAGGUGAUUAAGUUUUCAAGAAAAACAAAUGACAAGACACUAAGGACCAGUUCUGAACUAUUACCACUAACUGCUCGAUCCAAUUUGCAGAAUAGCUUUUGUCCCUCAAUUUGGAAAAAGGUUCUUUUUAACUUAGUUCAAAAGUGGGACUUGAAGUCAAUCCCCACUUUUUUGGGCUCCAGGACUACUGAAACAGCAAUUGGGACUCUUCCAGUAUUAUUAAUUAGCCUAAUUCUCCCAAUUCUAUAUCCACAACAUAGUCCUUCCAAGGAGAAAGAAAACCUCUAGUGAUACAUUCUUUCAUCAGCCCCAAGAGAUCUUACUUCUUUGACUUUAGGACAAGCUGAACUCUAGGUCACAGGUGGGUGAAUCAGCCCCUCUAGUAAAAAUAAUAAUGAAGAUUAUGUGAAGAACUCUUAUCAUGGAAACUUCCUCUUGUGGUGAUCAACUAACUGAUUCUCUUAGAGAAUUGUCUAUGGAAAAUGACAUAUUGAGUGACUUCCCCAUGAUCCCACAUCCAGCAGGUAUCUGAAACAGGAAAUGAACCCAAAGCCAGUACCUAGUCUCCACUUCAUCAAGUUGCCACUCAGACAGUGAACAGUGGAACACCAAUGAUUAACAGUCAACAAUAUCCAGAGACCUAGAAAGGGACCACGGGGCUCACCUCUGUACUGUUUUAGAUGACUUGGGAGCCUCUAAGGGAGGGAGCCAGAAUCCCUGCAAGUGAAGUCAUCAUAAGCAAAUAUGGGGAAGUGGGAAAGGAGAGGGACAUCAAGGGGAAAUAGAGAACAAAAAAGGAUGAUGUGGUCAAGCUGGGUCAAAGUGCUAACUAGGAACAGCUGGAAAAGUAGGAAAGUCAGAGGUGGAAUUAACAGAUCAAGACAUUUCAGGAGACAGUGGGAAGCAAGAUGGUGUGGUCUGCCAUGCUGUUUCAGAAACCUCAGUGCCCCUUAAAGCAGAACAGGGAGUGAGUACAUAGAUUAUUUUGGGGGGGGCAAUGCAGUGGAACUCAUAAAUCUAACAGUGGGAUAAAAUUAUCUAAGAUGAGAUAUAGAAUGGGAUAUAAUAUGGGAUGAUGAUCAUUAAGCACAAUCUGCUUUUUAGGAGUGAGGGGUGGGACUACAGCCAGUUUCUGGUAAAAGCUCUAAGGACAGAAAUUGAAGCAUGAGGAAGUCCAGUUUCACAAAAGGAAGACACUCCUUGACCUAGAAGAUGUUACCAAUGGAACAGCCAAGCCCCAAAAUUGCAGAUUAAGAAUGCAUUGAGUAGGGGAAGGAAGUAAAUGGCAUGGAGAUGGCCAAGAAGUUGUAGGAGGGGUCCUGAGUCUGGACAAGACCUGUCCUGAAAACAUACAUGAUUGAAAGGUGAGAGGAAUAUGGGCAAACUUAGAUUUAUGAAAACCUGACUUAAAACACCUUUACCUGCUCUACCUCUGGGCACUCUUGUCUUCCUACCAGUUUUUCUCCCUUCACAUGCUAAAAGAGCAAGCAGCCUCUUGCUCCAGUUUGGAAUAUUCUAGAGACCUGUAUCCUAGUGACAUUUCUCCUGUCACUGCUCCUACUUUGAGAUUCCACGUCCUCCCCUGUAAAAGUUAUUUAGAUGGUCUCUAAAGGAGUGGUCUCCAGAAUGGACCCGAGAUGACUCUGACCUGGCCUCAAAAGAAACAUGAUCAAAGAAUGGGAAGAUGAGUCACAUUUCAUUCUCAAAAUAAACAAUGGUGGAAUUCAUCUCUCAUACAAACAUACCUACUUUUGUUCCUUCAACAUUUCUCCACUCUGAGCCUUCCUACUAUACAGACUUCCAUUCUCCCCUGUUAUGGGCUGAAUGUUGUCCCUUCAAGACAACGAUGUGGCCCAGAUCUAGGCACUCACUUCCUCCCACAUAGCUGAUCUCUUUCCAAGGCCGGUGGAUUUCAACUCUGCAACAUUUCUCCAAUAUGUUCUUUUCUCUGAUGCUGCACUACCCUGGCAAAGGCCCUUAUCACUACAUAUCUGGACUACUACCCUGGAAAUGGGUCUACUUGUAUCAUUCCCAAUUCCAGUAUAUCAUUAAGCUGCCAAAACGAUUUUUUUCCUAGUGUGCAGGUCCAACUAUGUUAUUCCCCUAUUGCCCUCAGGAUUAAAUACAAAAUCAUCUGGACUUAAAAACCCUUCAUAACCUAUUUCCACCCCAUCCUUUCCAUUCAAUUUAGGGCCACUCCCUCAUGCACUCUUUUACCCAAUGACACCAGAUUACUGUUCUAGAAAGACACUUCAUCUCUCAAUUCCAGGCAUUUUCACUGACUCUCCAUGCCUAGAAUGCUCUUCUUUAACUACUACUACUACUGGCUUCCCAGGCUUAGCUAAAAUCACUUCUACAAGGAUCCUUUCUGAAUUACUCUUAAUUCUAGUGUCUUUCCUCUGUUGACUAUUGCCUAUUUAUUUGGAGAGGGCUUGUUUGUACAUAGUAGUUUUCAUAUCUCUCAAGGGCAGAGACUGUCUUUUGUUAUUUGUAUCUUCAGCAAUUAGCAUAGUUCCAGACACAUGGUUGGUAGUUGACUUUUCUAUUCAAAGAAGAUCAAAAUGAAAUCACUAUGUCAGGUUCAAUGUCCAUUGUGUCCAACCGGCUAACCAUACCAGUACCACCUUGGAAAGAUCUACCACAGGUCAGGUUGUGGUUCCCUACUAACUCCAUCAAAUAUUUCAUCUGUCACAUUUCUAAAUGUUUAUUUUGUUAGAAGUUUGAUAAUGGGUAUGAUUAUUGAUGCGAUAACACAUACCUAUACUUUAUAAAUAAGUAAAUAUAUACAUAUUGAAGGAUGGGAAUUCAUAACUACUUUAUUUUGAGAGAUACUCAAUUUUGGCUACACAUAUAUGCUUUACUCUCCCAUUAGUGCUUGCAUUGUGAACACCUCUACCUCUUCAGGUAAGUCUCUCCUGAUGUCAAGCUCAAUUAACCCAAGUAGGUCCAAAUACAUUGCCUUGGCCUAUCUGCCAUCCCAAAAUUUUGCUAGUGGAAUACAUAAUCAAAAUGUUUGGCUACUACUGUUUGAAGGACCCUUGAAAUUCUCACAUUUGCUGAAUCUGUAUCCUGAUUUUUAGUGUGUGAACUAUUUCACCUGUCCUGUGCUGCCAGGCCCCAGACUUGCCAUCUUGGAAUAUAUCAUCUCUCCUGUAUGUUUAAAGUAUCUCUAUAAUGGACUUCCCCCUCAUAACUCUCUAGAGUAGGGUUACAAGAUUCAGAGCUAGUUGUAGUCUUAGAGGUGAUCUACUGUAAAGAAUCUUCAUUUUACAAAGAAGGAAACAGGGCCAAAGAGAUAAAACUUGACCAAGGUCCCAUAGCUAGAAAGUGGCCAAGGAUUUGGACCCAAGUCUUCUGUGUCUAAUUCCAGUGCUUGCUUGAUUUUCUAUCCUACCUUCUUGUUUAUUUCUCUUACAGUCCAGUCUCCCUUUGUUCCCAAUAUAAGGCUGCUACUUCCUCGCUUAGCCAUAUUGUCUCAAGUGGGCCAUUCCCAGAAAUCCCACUUGGUGCCAGGCUAUGGAUAUUAGAAUGACUUUCUGAUCUUUUCAGAUGUAGAAGUUCUAUUAAUGCUGCUACUAUUUAUAAUUAAUAAGAAUAAUAGUAAUCACAAUACAUCUGAUAUUUUACAGAAUCCUAGAAUUUCAGAACUGCAAAAGAUCUUGGGUGCCACCUAGUUCAACUUACAGAUAAAUGGAAUCGCCACUAUAACAUAUUCAACAAAUGGUCAUAUAAUUCAUGUAUUAAAGGCCUCCAAAAUGUGGUAACCACUUCUUGAGGCAGCCUAUGCAACUUUUGGACAGCUCUAAUCGUAGGAAUUUUAUCCUGCUAUUAUACCUGAAUUUUUUUCUUAGCUUCUCCCACCCAUUGCCCAUUUCUAGGGCUAAGCAUAACACAUUAAAAUUUUCAAUCACAUGACAGACCUUCAAACAUUAAGAUCGCUCCCACGUCUCUCCUGAGUCUUCUCUAAACAUCUGCUGUACAUCUGGCCAAUAUUCAUAUGACAUAGCCUUGAAUCCUUUCCCUUAUUGUGAAAUUAUGAAACCUUCCUUUGAACACUCUCCAACUUAUCAAUGUCCUCAUUGAAUUAUAGCACCUAGAACUGAGCAAGAAACUGCAAAUGUGGUCUGUCUAGAGAAGAGCAGAGGAACUAUUUCCAACUUACCAGAAGCAAAAUGCCUCUCUUUGUGCCACCUAUGAUUGAUUUAGCUUUUGUGGAUGUCUCAUCACACUGAUGACUCAAAUGACAAUUACCUAAGCCUCUCUACUCUAGUAUUUGUGAAGCUGACUUUUUGAAUCUAAGUAUAAAACCUGACAGUUUUCUGUAUUGACUUGCAUUUUCCUAGAUUUCAGCUCAAUGCUCUAGUCCAUCAAGAUCUUUUGGGAUCCUGACUCUGCCAUACAGUAUGCUAACUAUCUUUCCCAGCUCAGUAUCAUUUGAAAAUUUUGUAAGCUUGCCAUCUAUGCCUUUUGUUAUCAAAGUCAAAUGAUAAAACUGUUAAAACAGCAAUAAGCCAAGCACAGAUCUCUGGAGCAUUCACCUGGUGAACUCUUACCAAAUUAACAUUGAGCCAUUAAAAACUACAUUUUUUAGUGCAUUAAUCCAUCAGUUACAAAUCUGCCUAGCUGAAUUAUAAUCUAAUUCAUUUCUCUCCAGCUUGUCCACAAGGAUAGCAUCUAAAAAUCCCUGAAUCUAUGAAUUUGGUAACACCAUAAAAAAAGGAAGUAAGGGUAGUCUGCCACUACUUUUGGCAAAACCAUGUGUUUAUUCUAUAAUCAUUACUCCUUCUCCUAGAUAGUCACUAACCAUAUCUUUUCUAUCCCAUUAUGGAAUUUCCCCUGGGGAAUCAAAGUCAAGGCCAAUGGCUUAUAGUUUGCAAACUUUACUCUUUUACCCUUCUUUGAAAAUUGGGACCUUCAUUCUUUUCUAGUCUUUGUGGUACCUUUCUAAUUUCCCCAGAUCUUUUACAUAUGGUUAAUAGUGUUCAGUGAUCAUUACUUCCAUUUUUCAGAUGAGGAAACUGCAAAAGCCCUUUUUACUCAAAUUACUUUGAUCACUGACUGCCAAAUCCAAAAAGGACCUCAGAGGUUAUCUACUUGGAUUUCUAUUUUCAAGAAGAAAAUGUGACCUUAGAGGUAGGACAACUUGUCCCUGUUCACAGAAUCAUAAAUGAGAGAACAGGAAUUCAAAACCAGGUGUUUUAACCACCUGUUCAGGCUCUUUGACCUUUCUCUUUCUGUGGUGCUACAGGCAACUCCUGGCAGUGAGGUUUGGGGUUAAAGUACUGAAAAGAUGCUGUAAAGAUGAGUGUACAUAAACAUCAUGCCUAUCCACAAAUCCCUAUCGAAAUGCCCAUGGCACUGGGCAUUAAGGUCUUAUCUGUAUGAUGCCAUUGUCUGUGCAAGUAGGCACAUAGUAAGAUCUUAAACUUUGCUUCCCUUGGCCUCAAUUUUCUCCUCUGUCAAAUGGGAAUAGAAACACCAUGUAAUUUACCUCACAGUCAUAGCAAGGGUCAAUUAAGUCAGCGUAUGAAGGGCUACAUCACUAAGUGUAGAGAAGCUCAUCACCAAACACUUGACUUUAGAGUGAUGAAGUUUCUAGCAAUUCUCAAUGAAUUGAGAGGUAGACAGGUAGAUCAAGGUUGCGAUUUGCCUUACUGCAAGAAAAGCAUAAUCCUUUAAGAUAAGGACAUAUUGGCAAUAUUAGUCAUAGCAAUCAUUGUUCUUCUACUUAUCCAAAUCACAUUAAUUCUUCAUGGCUCAGUGAAAACUUCUCUGACCAUUUCAGUACACACUGAUCACUCCCUCUUCUGAAAUCCUAUGCUGGCAGCAAAUGAUAAGCAGUUUAAAUACGAUUCUUCAUUCCUAUGUGUUUCUUGUCUCCCUACUAAGCUGUAAGGUCCUCAAGGGCAGUGCCUUUGGCUUGGACUUCUUUUAGCCUCCUCAGCACCUUGGGCAGGGAUGAGCAAAAAGUGGACAUUCAAUCAAUACAUGAUUGAUUCACUGACUGAUUGAUUGCCAGUGUCUGAUAAACAGAACAAUUCUUAUUUUUGAAUUGUCCUUUUGUGGACUAUUCCACUUUCCAAGGUUAUAGCUAAUUUCUCACUGAUUCAUUUGAGGUUGGCUGCCUUCUGAUGAUACCUAGGGAAGCACCUUAAUCUCUUCUAUGGCCCUAAUCCAAAUCACACUGCAGGAUAAUAAUAGCUGGCAUUUAUGCAGCGUUCUCCAUGUAUUAUCUCAUUGGAACUUUGCAAUAACCUUUGAGGUAGGUACUAGAAGGAUUACUAUCCCAACUUUACAGAUCAGGAAACUGAGGCCAGAGAAGUGAAAUAACUUGACCUUAAUGACAGGCAGAAACUACCUCCAUGUUUUUCUGACUCCAAAACCAGCUCUUUAAAACCUACAUUUACACUCUCUAGUAUAUGUUAUUUUUGAGAUGGUUUCCUCAAAUAGCUUAUCUCAUCCAUACUUCAAUGAUUCUUUCUUGACCAGCAGAUGCCAUCCUCUUAAGGUUUUCUUGUCUCAAUCAUUUCUUGUUCUAGAACAUAAAAUCACUUAACUUCAUAACUACAAGUGACUUUAGAGAUCAGCUAUUCAACUGCUUCAUUUUAUAACUGAGAAACCUGAGGAGGGUAGAGGUAAGAUGAAUGGCCCAAGAUCAAUAGCUGGUUAAUGGCAGAUCCAAGACUAGACUCUAGGUGUUCUGACUCUGCCCAAUCCAAUGUAUGUUUUGCCAUUCUGUUACAUCUUGAGCUCUUCUUGAUGCUGGGUAAUGAAAUAUCCACGGAUAUUUUGGCAAUACAAUAGGAUUUUAUAAUGAAACCAUACUUUGAUUGGGGUGUUAUUUUGAAAGAAAUCUCUUGAGUUUUCAUGGGCUCACAAACUCAACAGGAUUUUAUAGUGUAACAUUACAUCCCUAAAAUAUGAAGACUAAGGUUCAAAUCCCUCCUUCAACAAUUACUGUCCUGGGCAAGUUCUUUCACCUCUCUGCUUCUAAGUUUCAUUAUCUAUAAAAUGAGGAGGUUGUAAUAGAUGGUCUUUGUGGUCCAUGUGGUUAUGAUUCUUCAUUCCUUUGUUCUUGGAUGAAAUGAAGAUAUAGCAUCCAGAAUGAGAUACACUAUGCUGGAGAAAAAUUGUAUUAAACUGAAUGUAGUUAUCACGCUGGACUUGGAUUAAAAAAGAACUGAAUUUGGAUACUACCUUAUAUACUAGCUGUGUGACCAUAAGCAAAUCAUUUUACUUCUGUCUUCCUCAGUUUCCUCAUCAGGAAAAUACAAAUAAUAACCCCUUACAGGGUUGCUAACUUCUCUGAAUCUGUUUUCUCAUCUGAACUGAAUAUCUUCUAAAUUCUUAUCUCUAAGUCUAUGAUCUUUUAAGUAGUAAAUAGCAGAGUCAGGAUUAGAACCUGUGUCUUCUGAUUCCAAUACUAGCAUUCUUUUUAUUACAUCGUAUAGCUCCUUUCAUCCUGUGCAACAGAUUUUGAUGCACAGACUGACAUUACCAUCCUAAUCUGUUUGCUUAUGGUCAUCUGGAACAUUGUUAGACAAGAGGAAAAGAUGUUUCACUUUUAUCCCCCCUUUCUCUCCCUCCCCCCAAUAGAAGCAGCAAUGAUACAUUAUGUUCUGUGUUGACUUUCCUCCCUUAAGUCUCUGCAUUCUCCAGUUCAUCUUUCAUAUAUACAGCUACCAAGUGAUAUUCCUAAAGUAAAUUCUAACUGUGCCAUCUGCCUGCUCAAUAAAUUCCAAUGGAUCCCACCUGCCCCUAGCUAGGGAAAAAACCACAUCCCUCCAUUUAGCAUUUAAAGCCCUUCACAAUGUAGCUUUUGACUACUUCUCCAGGUUUACUGCAUCUUAUUCUCCUUUAUGCACUCUCCUUUUCAACCAAAUUGUUCUGAUUGCUGUUCACAAAAUAUUACAUUCCACUUCCCAUCUCUAUGCCUUUGUAAAGAGACCUCUAUACCUGAAAUGUUCUUCUCAACUAUCAGAUUAACUUCAUUUAUAGAUUCCUAGAAUCUCUGACCCCCUAAAACACUCAUAUCAAGGACCACCUCCUACACGAGGGUUUUCCUUAUUCCACCCCUAACCCCCUCUCCCAAUAAUGCCAUCCAUUUACAAAUUACUUCAUAUUUAUUUUGAAUUUACUCAUCCAUGUGCCUGUUGUUGCAUUCCAGUGGAAUGCAAGCUCCUUAAAGGCAAUAUUGGUAAUUUUUUUUAACUCUUUGCUCCAAGUGUUAAGUAUAAUACCCAACACUUAAGUGCUUGCAACUAGCUUAAAUAAUUAUGAAUAAUCCAAUAACAAAUAUUCUUUAUACUCUUACGUUCAUUUUUUGCUAUUUUACAACUGUCACUCAAGAAAGAGAAUGUAUCCACACUGAACUGAAGGGAUGUUUUGUACCUCUGUUCAAUUUGUGUUAUUCUAGUUAAAAGACAUUUUUUGGCAUCCCAUCUUCAAUUCUUGACCUGGCUGGCCCUCAACAGGAGACACAACUCUUUUGUAGUCCUGCACUUGUAGUUCUUCAUGCUUGGUAGGACCUGCUAGAGCACUGUGGCCUUUGAAACUCAAGAGUCACUGGAAGAAGAUCUUCAUAACAGCAUUAAAGAAAUGAUGACUUAACUAUUUCUUCCAUAUUUCAAUGAAUGGAGGGUAUCAGAGAUGUGGAUGCUCCCCCUAUGGAAAGAGAUUAUUACUCAUCCAUACUUUCUCAUCCUGUGCAACCCUUAUUCAUUUCCUUCCAUUAAUUCUCCAUAGGCCUCCACCUAAUAUUUGGGAGACUUUCUUCCAGGCCAAGUGAGAUUAUUAGAAUGGCAAUGAAAUAUAUGAUGAACUGUCCAUCUAUUAGUCCUCAUUCCUCAAAACAUAACUGGUUAGCCUCCUAUUCCAGUCAUAACUAUAUCAUAUUCUUUAUCCCAAUUGUUUACACUACACACCAUGUACAAAAGCACAUAGACCUUUGAUAAUCUUUGAAGAACUUGAUAAGAUCAUCAAAUCAUAGAGAACACAGAUGUUUUCCUCCCAUAGAAUAGUUCUAUAGAGUUCUGCAGGAGGGAGCUGAUAGCCUAAUAUCUAUGUAGGCAAGCCAAACACAAGAAAAUUAAAUUAGUUGUCUUUUGAUAGAAAAAAGGGAUUAUUUUCAGGAAUAUGAUAAAACUACUCUCUAAGGAGAACAUGAUUGCUUGCAAUAUAACCAGUCACAAGAUGUAUUGAUAAUACUCCAAGCCAAUCUAUCUGAAAUAACAUUUAUUAAAUAUAAAGUUGCUUAUGUGUACAGGAGGGAGACUGAGGUUCAGUAUUUCUUUUUUUUUUUUUGUACUUCAGCAAUAAGCCUUCAUUUUAGAAACAUGCUUUCCUUAUCUAAGUUUUAGAGAGGAAAAAUCUAUGUUUGCCAUUCUCUAUGUCAGCAUAGUCAUAAACCUCCAAAUUGGGGCCUCCAAAUUGAUUUUCAUUCAUUCCAUGCUGCAGGCAUUACUGUUAAUGAAGUUGCCAGGUCUGUUGAGAUUUUGAAGAUUUAUUUGUUAGACUGAGCAUAAUGUCAAGACAAAGAGUUAUUAGUUGUUCAACUCUUGACAGUUUUAUUCAUGGAGUUGAAUCCUGAAAUUUAGGGAAGCUUAGCUCAUUCAAUACAUCACCUUUGAAACUUAGGUAAGCACUCUCUGCAAAGUUCAUUUGAAUGGGAACAACUUCACAUAAUAUGCAAUUAUCCUCAGAUCACUAUCAUGAGAUCACAUUGGAAAGAGACUGUUCCACAUGUUCUGUCCAAACAGCCUGGGCACUUGGCAUUUCACACUUGCCCAGUUGAGCUAUGACAACUAAUAUACUGUUGAUUUUCAUGAAAUGUGCUAUACAGUUCUCAGGGUACACCUCAAUUUCAUAAAGAUUUAAUCCUACUACAUGUUGUUUUCAUAUCGCAGUUAUUUCUGGAAAUAGCUGCCCCAACUACCCCCUUGGGAACUGAGGUUUGUCUUGUGAAAAAAAAAAAGCAAAACCACUUAAUUGAAUCAGUUAGGUGGCAACAUGGAUAGAAUGCUGGACCUGGUGUCAGGAAAACUGGAAUGUGAAUCCAGCUUCAGACACCUACUAGCUGUGUGACUUUGGGCAAGGCAUGUAAUCUCUGCUUCCUUUUCCUUUGAUAUAAAAUAGGGAUAAUAACUUCCAGGAAUUGUUAUAAAAAUCAGAUGAGAUUUAUAAAGUGCUUAGCACAAUGCCUAGCACAAAGUAGAUGCUCCAUAAAUGGAUAUUUCCUUCCUUCAGACAGUGGCUAUCUCUGACAAUGUAUAUAGCAGUGAUGGUGAACCUAUGGCAUGGGUGCCAAAGUUGGCAUACAGCUUGCUCUCUGUGGGCAUGUGGCCACUCCCCCCACCCAAGAUUUCAUUACUAGAAAGGCAGGAGGACUCAGGUGGAGUUGCUCCUCUCUCCUCCACAGUACAUGAGAAUGUUUUUUUCACACCCCCUGCCCCUGUGCCUAGCAGCCCAAUGGGAGAGCACAGGGAGUAAGGUGGGUGACUCACAGGCAGUAGAGUUGGAGGAGAGCAGAGUGCUCAGACCACUCCCCUCCCACUCUCUACACUUGGCGAGGACAUUCCUCACUUCACCCACCCCUUCUCCCAGCAGCCCAAUGGGAACACUCUUCUCCCUCCCCUGUGUCUAUGUGUGUGUGUGGGGGGCAUGCCUAGCACUCACAGUGGGAAGGGGCACAGCACUCCAUCUCCAAAAGGUUCGCUAUCACUGGUAUAUAGCAUUCUGUCCCUGUAGUUCACUUCUCUGCAAAAAUGUUCUUAGCUCCAGUUGGUGCGACAGUUCAUUAUCUUGAAACAAAAUGGCAGUGGCUAAGUCUUCAAGGGUGAAUUAUUUUGGUUAUUUUUUAUGGACCUCACCCAAAUUUGUUCUGUGAUUAGACAUUAGAGAAACACCAACAUACUGGGUGAAGGUUCCAGGCCACAGAAACUCUACCUAAAAAAUGGACUGUGGGGUAUGGGAGGGCAGUGUUCCACAGACAGCUCUGGACCGAGUUGAAAGUUUUUUUAACCUAUAGCCAAUAUAUCCAUGACUUUUUUAAGAUUGAUUUUACUGUUGAAAUCUGGCAAAAUAGAUAAAGCUGGUUUGCAGUGUCUAUGUAUGUAUGUGUGGACAGCCUAUUAUGAACUAACUGUUCUAGCUAAAUUGUUUACAAAUGCAACCUAAGGAAAUAAAGGAGCCCUCCUAUAGGAAAAUGGUUUGGAGUUCAAUUUGCUUAUCAGGAGAAGUGAACCCCAAUGAAGAAACUUUAAGUCUAAGCAAGGGGAAAAAAGAAAAAAGAAUUCCAUGGUAGUCAGAUAUAAAAAUGCUACCUAGAAGAGGAGAGCUUCGUCUCCAUUCCACCUUUACCAAAAAUCUUUCCUCCUCCUUUCUAUAUGCAAUGGUUUUUUUUUCCACUCCUCCCUACUCUCUCACACAAAUGUCAGUCACGUCUAUCCCUUCUCUGUUCAUGCCUUCUCUUUGUGAAUGUGUCAUACAAGUGAUGACUGGGAUUUAAGAGAACUGAGUUCCCCUUACCUAAGAUCAUUUCCUCAUUUUUUUUCUGAACAAAGAUUUACAUAUUUGCUAUUGAGCUAAAAUGUUCCUAGUGUAAUCAGUGUAGCUAUUAAUCCUGUGUACUCAAUAAGUACACUUUUGCUUUUUUUCCCAGGAGAGACCUGAGUGAGGGUUAGGAGGAAUGUAUUAAGUGGGCAUAGUCUGCUUGGAUAUAUUAUUGCUAAGUCGCAACAGAUCCUAAAUUCAUGAGCUCCUUCAGAUAUUUUUAUAUAGAAUAUAUAUGUAAAGAAGCUUAUUAACAAGUUAUAAUGGGACUGAACCCCCACUUAACCCUUUCCCCAGCUUAGUGGAAAAUGAAAUGGGCUUUGGGCCAUUCUUUUUUAGAGUUGUAUUAGAGCACUGGAAUCAGGAAGACUUGAGUUUAAAUCUGAACUCACUCACUACAGGGUCAUAUCACUCUAAGGAAAGAAUUUAAUCUAUUUGCCUCCAUUUCCUCAAAUAUAAAAUGGGAAUCAAAAUAUCACCCACUUCACAGAGUUUUUCUGAGGACCAGAUAAGAUAAUAUUUGUAAAGGGCUUAGCACGAUUUUAGGCACACAUGAGUUUAAUGUCUAUUCCUUCCCUCCUUCCUCCUACAUAUGGGUUGAACUAAAUGGGUGGUGAGGAUCUUUCAAACAUCAAAUUUCUGUGAUGCUAUGAUUCUGACAUUUCUAGGAUCAAGUGGUCCAGAAAACUACAAGGGAAAGGCUUUCGAUCCUGGUUCUUUUGUAUACCCAGGUAUCAUUUCUCAGCUCCACAGCUCAUUCUAGCAAAUGGAUAGAAGGUAAGUGGGAAUGAAGGCAGGAAUCGAGGGAAUAGGAAUGAUUCUCAUUUUUGAGACAAGUUGUCCCCAGGGCCUGUAGGUGGUUUCCCAGAUCAUGUCAUUCUUGCCUUUGAAAGACAUAAAUUGUUUUUAUGGUGUCAGUAAAACCCAAAGAACACUGGCCAGGGAGGUGAGAGAUGGCUUCUAUCCUAGGUCUGGCCAAACUCACUAACUUCAAGCAAGUACUAUAAAAUGACAAAGUUGAAUUUUCCAGUUUCUAAAGUUCUUUCAAAGUUUUGACAUUCGAUAUUUCUGUUAAUGCCUUUAAAAAACUGGCAUAACUGUAUAUUUUUGACAAACUUUGGUUAGAUUCCUUUUGGUUUACAUUGUUGACACAUGGUUUAAAUUUACAUAAUUUAAAUGUGAUUUAGUCAAUUGAUCAUAAUAGCUCAAUUAGAACUGUUCAAGAACAAACAUGUCAAGACUUACUGUACUCCUUGGUAAUUGGAUGAUCAAAUGGCUAAUGAAGCUUGGGACUGUCAAACCAAUGCUGACUGUCAAACCAAAGCACUGUAUUCUUUGAUUUUUCUGUGAAGGUUAAUAGCAUCCAUCUACUUUAUAAAACUUGGCUCCUUAAGGUUUGGAAACAAUGCAGUUACUGAAUUUUCAAGGUGUUUGCUCCUUGAUGUUGGAGGAUUCCAGAGUUCUCCUCUAUGCUCUUUCUCUUCACCUCUUUCACAUGCCAUCUUUCCUGAUCCUCAUGGCUACUAUUGAUGCUUUUACCCCCAAAUUACCUUGAAUAUAUUUUGUACAUGUGCUCCCCCCCUAUCUUUGCCCACUGUAAACUCCUGGUGGUCAUAGAUUGUUUUAUUGGUGUCUAACAUACAGCAGAGAAUGAAAAAAUGCUUUUGACUGUUGAGGCUGAUGAUGAUGAUUUUCAAGGAUAAAGGGGUAAAUAUCUAAUAAUUGGCUAGGGCUCCGGGCAGGGGGUGGAUGAAUGUAUGCACAACACACUUUUAAGCUUAAUUUGCAUUAGUACCAGUUUCCCCAAGUCUAGAAAUCAACAAAACAAUAGAUUGGAUCAAGCAUUGAUUUGUGGCAUUUGUUGAGGUGUAAAUAGUCACACUAAAAAUUUAACAAUUGGCUCUUGACAUUCUCCAUGAUCCAUUCUGGCUACAGCACAUCCCUGAAUUGAUUUCUGUUUAUUUGAAGAAAAGUUUCCAGUGGGAAUAUAUAAUGUCCUUAGCUCCCUUCUAAGCUCAGCUCAAGGGCCACGGCCUUUCCCGACUCCCUCACUUGUUUUUACCCCACACUUCUAACUUGUAGCAUGAAAUAAAAAUAUAAAAUGUUUAUUUACUCUAUAUUUGUAUACACUGUUCUUCCCAGUAGAAUGCAGGCUCAUUGAGGGAACAUUCAAUAUCAAACCAGCAAGUAGUUAGUGCAGGUUUGUUGAAUUAAACAAAUGGAAAUGGAAAAGAAUUUGAUAACUGGAAAUGAAAUUACCUAGGUGGAAAUGAGGCUGGUUGUUAUGAGGGACAGAGAUGAAGUAAAAAGAAUGUCCUGCAGGGAAUCAGAAGAAUAAGUUUCCAGGCCUGCUUGUUAUGCUAGGUAAGGAUGUGACACUCAUUUAAAUUCUUUGGGCCUUAUUUUCCUUAUAAAGAAGAUGAAUAGGCUAGAAGAUUAUACAAUUAGAUGUGUUUAGAAAGGAUCAAAUGACUUUCACUGUCUCUUACUCCUCAUUCCACCUAAGUUCUCACACCUAGUCAGAAGCAACCCUCGACUUCACAGAAGGUCAGAUCCCGAAAUCCUGGUGCUGUGAAGACAGGAUUCUAAAUUUCUAAUUGGAAGGGACCUUAGGGCUCAUCUAGUACAACUAUUUCAUUUUACAGAUCAGGAAACUGGGGCUGAGAAAGGUAAAAAGCCAAAGGGAACUCAAAUCCUCUGACACCAUCUCUAUUACACUGCAGACACUAAGAGUCUAGGGAAUUUCCUAACAGUAAUCCCAGACCCUGUGCUUUUUAACUUGAUUUGAUUUUUUUUAAUGAAUGACUUCAAGCAAUGACAAAGUAACUGCUUGUUGGAGAUGUCAGAGAAGAUUCUUGUUCACAUAUGAGUUGUACUAGAGGCCUCUGAAUUCCCUUCUAACUCUUCAAUUCUGUGAUUCUGUGACUUGAUAAAAGCCACAGGUGUUAUGUUUUUCACAUGUGCAGAUGACAGGAGGCCAAGGGAAAUGUCUAACAGGUUGGAUGACAGAGGGGUAAGAUCCAAAAAAAUCUCAAUAGGCUAAAGCAAUAAACCAAAAUCAUAUAAGAUAAAAUUCAAUACAGAUAAUUUCAAGUCCCACAUUUCAGUUAAAAGUCAACUUUGCAAGUAUAAUAUAGGUGAAUCAUGGUCUUUUUCAUAUACAAAAAGAUAUAAGGGUUUUGGUGAACUGCAACUUCAGUAAGAGUGAGCAGUGGAUCAUGUGAAAAAAUAUUGUAUUCCUAGACUUAGUUGAGAGGCAUAAUGUUUAGUGUGAUGGUGAUGACAGACCCAUUGUCAGCUACCCUACUCAGACCAUAUUCAGAGUAUAAUAUUUAGUUCUGGAUAUCACAUCUUGGGAAGAUUAUUAAAGUUUUGUUGGUUGAGGGAGUUUCUGCACUGAGAAUCAUACGUCACUGACAUAUUUAUAAAGGUGGUUCAUUCCAAGAAGAGUACAAAAAGGUUAGUAAAGGAACCAAGGAUCAUGAAAGAAAGAUGUAGCAGUCCACACCUAUCUAGGGACAAGGGAAACAGAAUAUACCUAGUGGCUUAGAAGAGAGUAUGCUCAGUCUUGAGCAUGGCCAGGAAAGCCUCUGACCCUUGACCCCAGCUUCCCCCAGGUUAGGCGGGAAAACAGGUUUCUUUGUGUUCACCUGCUAAGAGACACCACACCUAUACCUUGUCAUUAACCAAUGAUAAUCAUCCCUAUGUAUUGUGUAUAUUUGCAUAUCAAAGAGAUUAAAUCCAGGGCCGCAGCAAGCUCCACCCCCUCUUCCUCUCUUGGAUCUCAGCUCUCACUGAUGUCUGUCCUUGCUGGAGCUUGGCCUCAAGCUCCAUCUUUAAUUCCUUUCCUCCUCUAUCUCUCUCACCUGGGUCCUGGCCUUCAGCCAGGUGUCUCUUUCUUUCCCAAUGCUAAUACCUAGCAUUCUCUAAUUCUCUCUAUUAGUCUCUAUUCAUUCUCUUAGCUGAGCUAUAUCAUCCUCUGACCGGUGAAGUGUUAAAUUGGGAUCUCUGGACGGAAUAUAGCCUUUCAGUGACGUCCAUUGAUUGGGGCAUGGCUGCGGCUCCAAGAUAUUAAUGAUAACUGAUCUCUGACUCAUUAUUGACUUCUCAAAUUUGGCUCCCUCACGCCCUUCGCAGCAUCCAGAACUUCUAUCCUUUUCUAUCUUCCUACCUUAAGGCUUCUUGUGGGUUUGGAAAGCCUUAAAAGAUAUAUUGAAAGAACUGAGUAUCUCUGGCCUAAAGAUGGGAAGACUUGUAGGAACAUAAUAGACAUCUUCAAAUAUCCGAGAAACUAUCAUGUAAAAGAUGGUUUAUAUGUGUUCUUACUGGUUCCAAGAAGCAAAACUAAGAGUAAUGGUUAAGGGGAUGGAGUUGGGGGGAUCAUGCAGCUAGAAAGUAUCAGGUUUGAAACCACAUUGGAUUGUAAGUUCCUUGAGUGAAGUGACUGUUUUUGUCUUUCGCUGUAUCUCCAGUACUUAGCACAGUGUCUGGUAUGGCCUUAAUAGUAGGACCUUGAUAAAUGCCUGUUCACUUGACAAUUCUUGCUGACUCCAAGUCCAGAAUUCUAUCCACUUUAUCAUCCUGUUUCUAUCAGCAUUGCCUAAAUUGCCUGAUAAUUAACCUAUUACUAAGCAAUAACUGGUUUCUAAAAAGUAACUUAUCACAAUAUUCACUGCUAGUUGGACUAUAGACUUGCCUUGAAAGGUGUAUUAACUCAUUUAGGUCCAUAGAUACCACUCAGUGCAUUGAUCAAUAAUUUUCUAAAUGUUACCUGAGGGAAUAUAGAAGAAUGUCUUAAUUUUUGCAUCCUUCAAUGAUUCCCAAGACUCUCAUUAUUCUAAACAUAUACAUGUGUUUAUGUAUGCCUACAUAUAUAUAUACAUAUAUAUAUAUAAUAUGCACUAGUGUUCUUAUUGUUAAUAUUCUGAGCAGCAUUCCCCAUUGAUGAUCAAUCAAGGCUCUAAUGCACUGUACUUCUUGCCAAACUUUACCAGUUUUGGAGUCUAAUUCCAUUUCUCCCUACAUCUUUUAAUUAGCUACAGAGUAAUUUCUUUUGUGGUUAGAGUGUGUUCUUUCUGGAUGACAGAGUUGUCCUCUAUGUAACCUAACUAAAGGUAUGCAUUUGGAUGUAUUAGCUAUCCAGCAGAUGUCCAAGCCAAUAAAGUUCCCCAGGAGUACAGUAUCCUGAGGUUUAAACUACUUUACCUUGAGAAAUGGAUGGAGGUUUGUUCUCACUUGCCAGAGCCCCACAGGGCAGCUGCAUGUGAAGUGCACACAAAUGUGACCCACACUCCUAACUAUGGAGCAAACUGUUAUGUCUGUCAUUGUUUCAAACAAUGGGGAAAUUUACUUUCCCCACAUGAAAAGAAACUUUAUUUUCUUCCUCUUGACAUCAGUUAUCACUACAUACAGGCUGAAUUCACUGGACUCAUCCUUUCUGAGUUAUUCGCAAACACAUGAAUGAUUUUAUAUCCUGUUCAAGAAUUUCACCACUUCUUUAUGUCAUUUUCUUAUACAGUAAUCUGAACCUACCAUGAAUGUUCUAUUCACACACUCAACUCAUUAACAAAGAGUACAGAAAUCACUGCUAUGCAGACUGUCAAGAAAUAUGGUAAGAGAUAAUUCAUAUAUUAAUGCAUUAGUGGCACAAAAAUAUUUUUAAAAAACUAAAGCAAGACCUCUAGGAUGUUAAAUGGCCCCUCUAUGAAGAAUACCCAGAAGGAACAUGUUCAAAAAUCUCAAAAACUAUGGUGGCCCAAAGACAUAACCUCUACCAGUGAAGGAACAACCAAUAUUGAUGAGAUCAAGUUCAAAGAUUACAAGUCACUUUCAAUAUUGCCUUUUUUUAGGCAAAACUAAUUCUAUAUUAAAAUAUGAGAUUAGUGUAACAUGCUUUUCUUUACUUCCUCUGGUUCAGGACCAUUAUCUUUAGAGUUCUCAUGUACCCCAAGAGAUUUGUGAGUGUAUCUUCUUUCUAUUACCAUUGUCUCAAGCCCCUAACAGAUGGGUUCCCCCAUUUACAGGGGCCUAUUAUUAUCACCUGUUUGGCCGAAGCAGUCUUCACAUGCUGGGUGAGCAAAGCCUUAGUUCACCAGGGGUCUACGACAUGAUGGCUACCCUCACAAGGUUUAGUCUACCCCAUACUUUUGUUCUGCCUUGGAAACAAUAUGCAAUAUUGAUACUAAGAUGGAAGGGUUUUUAAAAAAUGUAGUGUCCAUAUUUAACCCAGUACUCCAGACGUGCUCUGCCCUCCCCAUUCUGGACACUAUGCUUAAUUAUUUUUAAACCCUUACCUUCCGUCUUGGAGUCAAUACUGUGUAUUGGCUCCAAGCCAGAAGAGUGAUAAGGGCUAGGCCAUGGGGGUCAAGUGACUUGCCCAGGGUCACACAGAUGGGAAGAGUCUGAGGCCAGAUUGGAACCUAGGACCUCCAGUCUCUGGGCCUGGCUCCCAAUCCACUGUGAUACCCAGCUCCCCACUAUGCUUAAUCUUAAUGCUUCUCUACUGUUGACUCAAAUGAGGGUCCACUGAAAGUCAUCUAUCAGAUGAGCUAUUUGGUCAUCCCUCUCAAAUUUUGUGUGUAUAACAUUAAUUUUUAAACACAUAACAAGAUUUAACAUUUCUCCCUAUUAAAUUUCAUCUCAUUAGCCUAACUGAUCCCUAAAGCACUAUACUAGGGACCUCCUUGCAACUUAAAGCUGUAGUUCAAUCAUUCAGUCAUGUCUGACUCAGCAUGAUCCAAUGGGCCAUAGCAUAUAUUAUCUACAGGGUUUUCUUGGCAAAAAUACUGUAGUGGUUUGCCCUUUCUUUUUCCAGGGCAUUAAGGCAAAUGGAGGUUAAGUGAUUUGCCCAGGGUCACAUAGCUAUAAGUUUCUGAGGCUGGAUUUGAAUUCAGGUCUUCUUCACUCCAGGCCUAAUACUCUAUCCCUCGGUGUAUCACCUAGCAGCCUGAGUUGACAUAGGACCAUUAAUGACUAAUCUUUCAGCUUGUACAAUGAAUUAGUUCUAAUUACACCUAAUUGUACCACUGCCUAACUCACACCUACCAUCUUUUCCAUAAACACAGCAUGUUAAAAUCCAGGUAAACUAUAUGUAUAAUAUUCUUCAGCCUUGUAACCUUAUCAAAAAUGAGUUUAGCUAUAGUUGAACAUGUUUUAUCCAACACGAACAUUUGCUAGCACUUUGUAAUCACCCUAGGUAUAGGGUUGGAAACCACCAAUGUUGUACUAACUGGGGGCUUAUGGAGUUCAAAGAGUCUCUGCAGCAACUAGCAACUGCAGCUACCUUCAUAGGAUCAUAGAAUCUUAGCUGGCCUUGUAGUUAUACUCUGGCCUCAGAUCCUAACCAUUUCACAAAAGCAUCCCUAACAGAGGCUCUGUUCCCAUAAAAUGGAAUUUGGGGAAACAGAAUAUUUAAAGACAGAUGACCUAGGUUCAAAUCUUGGCUCUGAUAUUUGCCAUCUGUAUGACCUUCGGCAAUUCACUUAAUAUCUGUGGACCUCAGUUUCACCAUUUGUGAAAUGGGAGUUUGGAUUAUAUAACCUCUAAAAUCCCUUGUAUCUCUAAAUUCUAUGACCUUCAGCAACAGUGACAUCUCCCUGUCUCCAAAGGCAAUAUAUCUCAUUUCUUUCUCUCAGUUUUGGAUUAGAGGUAGUAGGUAUUCUAAAGAUUAUCUUGUCUUAUUGUUUUUAUAGAGGAGAAAACUAGGUGGUACAGUGGAUAGAGUCCUGGGUCUGGAGUAAGGAAGACUCAUCUUCCUGAGUUUAAAUCUGGCUUCAGACAUUGACUAGUUGUGCGAUCCUGUGUGACUUCGUCCUAUUUACCUCAGUUUCCUCCUCUGUAAAAUGAGCUGGAGAAGAAAAUGGCAAACCACUCUAGUGUCUCUUCCAAAAAACAAAUACUAAACGGGGUCAUGAAAAUUGGAUAUGACCAAAAAUUAUGGAACAACAAAAAUAAGUAUUAUCAUUAUUAAAUGGUAUAGAGAUGAUGUCACCUUGGAAUACAUGGCUGACCAAUGUGCAUGUUCUUCCUAUUACCUCAAAGUAACUUAUUUCCCAUACUACUUUGGGGGAGAGAACAGAAAAAUGAAGGGCAGUGUGGUUAAUUUGGUAACUGACUUAAUAUUUUGUAGCUUUACUGAUAUCUGCCUGAUUAAAUGUUUUACUCUUUUAAUGUUAUUCCUUGGCUGGUCACCUAACCUGGGAAGCAACUGAAUAGGUAGGUCUAAAUUGACUUUAGGAGUUCUGAAUUUUCCACCAGGGUGGGACAAAUGGAUCACUGGUAAAUUUCCAUUUAAAAUCUCAAUAAUUUGGAAUCCAAGUCCGUGUAUACAUAGUUAUAAGUUCACUUAACUUAAAAUUAAACUUUCACGUUAGUUGUGAAUUGAGCUUGCUCAGAUACCAUGUAUGUGUCCUAUAAAUAAAGCCUCACUUCCUAUGUUAGAAUCAUGACCAUAUUUCUUUGUAUCUUGUAUAGCUGGAGCUGCCAAAUUCAUUAUGCAUGGUGUGGCAUUAAAUAUGUGAUCUCAGCAGACAAACAGAAACCAUAAUUGAUCCUUUAUAUAGCUCUUUACAUUUGGCAUUUUACAAUUCAGAGAUGAUACUCUGCCAUACUCAAGAGCCAUUGUGAUCAGCUCAUCCAGAUGCUUUUGAGUUAUGUGACAAUUCUAUACUGCCAGUAGGAAACCAAUGCUGAAUGCAUAGAAGGCCAGACGGAUGGAUGAAAACUGAAUAAUUCACUUACUUGUCCAGAUGCUUCUAAACAUCCUAGAAACUGAAUGGAGCCAUUGGGCUUCCAAAUUCCUAGUCCCAAGUUUCAGUGAAGCCUCGCUGCCUUUCAGUCAGUUCUAUGAAGUCAACAACCUUCUAAAUAUAUUCUUGUUAAGAGUUUACUUCACUAGACCUGAAGCCACAUUAGAAUAGAUUCUGUUGAGAAUAUAAUCUCUAUGGAUAGGAAAAUAGAAAAAUCACUUUCAUGCAAGCUGCAGAGUUUCUUUGCCCAACCCACCACACACCUAUUUUUUAUCACUAGAAGGAAAGAGAUAUUUACUAAGCUCUAUCUGGACUGUUUGCCAAACUGGGGCUGAAUGCAAGAAACAGUAAAGUUUCAACUUGGUGAGCACUUGAAUUUAGGGGUGGCAUUUGAAACCAAAACAAUAACUGUCCCAUAUUACUUUCACUCAAUGAAGCAGUGAAUCUCUGCAUUUUUGUUGUUGCUGCUGCAAAAUGUCAUUAUAGGAUGGCUUUUGAUGCCCAAGCCAAAUUUUCAAAUCAAACAUCUCAGCUCUGCAAAUCUCGAUGGGUCAUUUUCAAGUACAUAUGAGGAAAAGGGCGUGAACCAGAGACAUCUGGGAGUGGAGCCAAGAUAGCUAACAUGAGAAUCCUCUCAGACCAAUAUUGAAAUAUCACACAAAAACAAGAAUGAAAGAAUCAACAAAGAGACAGAGUGAAAUAACUUUCAAGAAAAGAAAUACCUAAAAGGUAGGCAAAGAACAUCUGAGGCAUUUGGGUGAGAGGAGAUCAGAGCCAGCAAGAACAUGUAGCAAGGAUGGAAGAGCAAGCCAAGAGCAAGUCACAUACUCUCACCCCACAUCUGCUGUCCAAGUUUCAGAACCUAAGCACAAACCAACAUCCAGACCCUGAGAUCCCACCUGGGAAAAUAAUGAUACAAACUAGCCCAUACCCCUUGAAAUUUCAAACAUGUGGAGAAAUAAGGAGCCCCAAUCCAGGGAAUUCUACUCUUGGCUUGGGGUAAGGACAUAGUUCACACUUUGGGGAGGGGAGGGAACUGAUAGCACUAAGUGUUAAGUACUGACCUUUUUGACUAAAGCUCAAGGCAUACCUCGAGGAUAGGACAAUCGAGGUUGUGUCUGAUUAGAUCAAGUACACAGUGAAACCAAAAACUUGAGUCUAAGCCUGGGGCUAGAAUCUGCUCAGCCCCUGACCUGAUCAAGAUCAGAGUGAGAUAAAAAGCUUAUACCUAAGCCUGAGGCAAGUCUUUAAGGUAUCAGCAUCUCAGGGGGCAACUGAAUAAGGAGGUAGAGGGGGCUCACAGAGCUCUCAGUCCUCAGAUCAUCACAUCAUCCACCCAAGCCUACCUAUAAUUAGAUAGGAAAAAUGAGCAAACAACAAAAAAGCAUCUAACUCUAAAGAAUUUUUAUGGAGACAGAGUAAGGUAUAGACACAGAAGGGGACAGUGAAAGCAAAGGAAAAACACACAAAGUCCAAAAGAAAAAUAUGAAAUGGACACAGAUUCUGGAAGAACUCAAAAAAGACUUCAAAAACCAAUUAAGAGAGGCAGAGUAAAAGUGGGGAAGAGAAAUGAAAGUGAUGCAAGAAGAAACAGGGCAAUUGAAAAAGGAGAAUCAAAAACUGUCAGAGGAAAAUCAGGCCUUAAAAAUCACAACUGACCAUACAGAAACUAAUGAUUUCAUGAGAAAUCAAGAAAUAAUAAAUCAGGAUCAAAGGAAAAAAAAAACAGAGGAAAACAUGAAAUAUCUUAUUGAAAAAAAAAACAGACCUAGAAAAUAGAUGUAGGAAAGACAAUUUGGGAAUUGUUGGACUACCUGAAAGCCAUGAUCAAGAAAAAACAUUGAACAUCACACUACAAGAAAUUAUCAAAGAAAACUGCCCAGAGAUCCUUGAACAAGAAUAUAAAAUUGAAAUUGAAAGAAUUCAAAGAUCACCUUCAGAAAGAAAUCUUCAAAUAACAACUUCCAGAUAUGUAAUAGCUAAUUUUUUCAAGCAGUCAAAAAGAAACUAUUCGGGAGGCAGAGUAAAGAUGGAGGCUUAGAAGCAAUAAAAGUCAAUUCUUCUGUGAAAACCCUUCCAUAUCAAUAACAAAGUCCUUCGAGGAGGAUACAAAACCAAAUUCAACAACAGGACAGAGCAGGGGGACCCUCCUCCUUGCUUCAACUUAAAAGCUACAUGGAUUCUCAUGUUUAAGGAAAAUAAAGAAGAAAGGUCCCAGGACUCCUCCCCCACCUUCUGUGCUGAUACUUGGGAAGUUGGUAGGAUCUUGGGGCAAGGGCUCUAGCCCAGAGGGAAUGUCUUGCUACCACAGCUUCUCCAGGCUCAGGGAUCUGACCACAGCUGGCAGAGAGGAUGGCAGCCUGGUUGCAGCUUUUAGCCACCAUUCCUCCAUCUUGGGCCUCGGCCUCUGGAAGUUUUGGCCUUAGGGCACAUUCAGCUCUGCAGAUCAGCUCAAUUGUCUUAACCUAGUCUAUCAAUAGUGCAGAUAAGAAGCCUCCAGAGGGCAGAAAAGCUCAAUUUCCAACACCCUUCCCCUACACACACACCUACUAUGCUGAAACCAGUGGUAAGUAUCUGGCUGACUGGGAUCCCAGAGUGAAGGCUGCAGUCUCAACAGAGUACCUUGGUACCACCACUUGAAGCUCAGGGCUCUGAUCUGGCAGCUGGCCAAAAGGAAGAGAGGAAGAUGAGGUAACUACCUUCAGCCUCUACACCUUCACUUUCACCUUCAGCUUCUGCUAGCAGCUGGGGAAGAUCAGGCCUCAAGGCCCAUUAACACAAUCGGUCAGCUACAUUAGCCUAAUCCAGUUACUUAGCAGAACAGAGAAACCCCUUCAGGGCAGAAAAGUCCAAACUCACAAGUUCAGCAAAUAAACAGCAGAACAAGAAUAUAGACAAUAAUGAGGGGGAAAGAAGGAAAAAUGAGUAUACAACAGAAAAAGAAAAAAAUUACAAUCAAAAGUUUCUAGUCAGAACAAAUGGAACAUAGGAGGACCAAGGAACACAAAGAAAAAACUCAGGACUCCAGUAAAUUGGACAUGGGCUUUGGAAGAACUCUAAACACAAUUCAAUAAAGAAGAGAGGCUGAAGAAAAUUGGGGAAAGAACUUAAAAAGCAAAAUAAGUCAUCUGGAAAGACAGGCACAUGAACUAAAACAAGAAAAUUGUCUCUUGAACGCCAGAAUUGACCAGCUUGAAAAUGAGGCAAAGAAAGUGAAAGAUGGCCUACAAAGAAAAAUAGAUCAAAAUGAAAAAAGCCAGGGAUGAAAUUCAGUCUUUAAAAAUCAGAAUAAACUAGAAUCCAAUAACUUCAGAAAAAGUAAGAGUUUAUAAAACAAAAUCAAAAGAAUGAAAAAACUGAGGAAACCAUAAAGCACCUCAUUGAUAAAACAACCAACCUGGAAAAUAGAUCCAUAAGAGACAAUUUAAGAAUUAUUGAACUACUGGAAAAUCAUGACAAAAGAAAAAGGCUGGAUAUCAUUCUACAGAAAAUUAUCCAGGAAAACUGCUCUAAUAUUCUUGAACCAGAGGGUAAAGUAGAGAUUGAAAGACUCCACAGAUCACCUCCUGCAUUAAAUCCCCAACUCACAACACCCAGGAAUGUUAUAGCCAAGUUCAAGAAUGUUCAGACCAAGGAAAAGAUACUACAAAUUGCUAAAAAGAUAUCAGAUAUCAUGGAGCCACAGUCUGUAUUACACAGGACCUGGCUACAUCCACAUUGAAGGACCAGAAGGCAGGGAAUAUGAUAUUAUGGAAAGUGAGGAAACGGCAUCUACAAUCAAGAAUCAACUAUCAAGCAAAAAUAAUUAUAUUCUUGCUGGGGAAAGUAUGAUUACUUAAUAAAAGACUUUCAAGCAUGCCUGAAGGAAAAAACAGACUUAAACAGAAAAUUUGAUGCCCAAAUACAGAACUCAAAAGAAUAACCAAAAGGCUCUACAGUGAACUGCAAGGCCAUUUUUAAAACUUGUGCUGUUUACAAAGAGAAGUAUACACUUGGCAAUAGAAAACCUUGUGGACUAAUGGAGCUGUCCAUUGGAUGACUGUGUAGUAAACCCAGAUAAAAGAAAAGUCGUGUAACUUCAUACAAUUCCUAAGAGGCCCUCUGACAAUAGGGAAUGAAGAUUCUUGAGCAAAGGAAUGACAUAGUAAGAUCUAUGCCUGAAAAAUCAAUAAAAGGCUUCAGCCCGGUAUAUACCUUGUGGAUCCAGUCAAUGAGCAGAGAUUGGCAGAUGAAAAUGGACCUGGUUCUGUUUAACUCCGGCUAUCCAUCUUCUCUUAGUUUCAAAGGGCAAAGAGAUGUGCUUUUUGAACUGAGCUGACUUCUCCUCUUCUCUCUGCAGUGAAGUCCAGAAUUCCUGCUCAAGGUAGUCGGUGCUGUGCAGCCUGAUUUGUUUGGGCUCAGAGCAAAACCAGUAGUUCCAGCUGGGGUUUGUGGUGAGGACAUAGAUCCCAGUUUUGGGCACUCAGUGGAUCAGGCCUCUCCCUCUCCUGCCCACCCCUAACUCUGACAGGGGCAGCCCCCAGGAUGCUGACUUGAGGGAACCUGGCUGACCCUUGCCAAAGCUCAAGGCCCUGGUCUGGGUUCUAAUGCCAGCUUUGCCCUCUAUCAGCAACACAAAGCUGAUGAAGUCAAUUCCUCUCUUUAGGUCUCCAUUUCCUCAUGUGGAAAAUGUGAAUUGUUUGCACAAAUGCAGUGUAUGCCCCUUCCAGCUCUGACAUUCUGUACUCCAUAGUCUUUUGUAAUUUACUAGCUCAGCCUUACCUACUCAAAUGUGACUAUUGUAAUAAAGUAUUGUGAUUUAGACAUUCUGACCUUUAGGUGUAGCCAGGGCAAAUCUAGUGCAAAGGUUGGAAAACCACCAAUCAAGAUGGCAUUUAUAAAUAUGGAAUUGCCUAGCACAUGCAAAUGUAUGAUGUUCAUUAGUGUAGUUUAUGAAAGAUCCUCUCUGUCCAUUAAGAACAUAAUGAGGGGCAGCUGGGUGGCUCAGUGGAUUGAGAACCAGGCCUAGAGAUGGGAGGUUUUCGGUUCCCAUCUGGCCUCAGACACUUCCUAGCUGUGAGACCCUGGACAAGUCACUUACUCUUCAUUGCCUAGCCCUUACUGCUCUAAUGCCUUGGAACCAAUACAAAGUAUUGAUUCUAAGAUGGGAGGCAGGGUUUUAAAAAAAGAACAAAAUGACUUCCAACCAUCAGUGCUUUGUCCAUCAAAGGCAGUGACAACUCUCCCCAGUGGCAGCCCCAGAGGUCCUGGCAAUUGGAUUUACCCACACAGGGCUCCCAAUGAUUUCAGUGAAGCACAGGAAAUUGCCAAAAGGGACUUACAGAAUCAAAAAAGUGGGUCAGAUCCUGUCAGGUGAGGAAAUGCUCCCUAGAGUGACACUUUGGGAGGGAGAACAGUGGCCAUGAGUCUUGUAGGCACUGAAGUAGCACUGAGCAGAACUGUGGCACUGAUUGACUAAAUAGUGCCCUGGUGGCCUAAGCACAUAUCUUUCUUACCUGUGGUUUUAAAGUACAUGCCUCUCUUCCUAGAACUCAUUUGGCUCCAGGAUUGCAGUGGGCACGGAAGAGGUGAAGGGGACCAUAAUAUUCAUAGGACUAGUAGAAAGUAGAGCUCUUGUUUCUUUGGUAACAAAUGAUAGAAAUUCCCCUUCUAGGGUCAUAAAAAUUAUUAUGAGCUUAAAUGUAGCUCACAUGAACAUAUAAUUUAGGCACUAUCUGCUUAAAAUAAAUUAUCUUAAUAUCUGUCAAGUGGACUUGUAGAGAUAGUAUAGAGGAGUAGCUAGAAUACUGGGUUUGAAUCCAGUCUGAAUCCAGAUAUUAGCUAUUACAGCCAAAAGCAAGUUUCUUGAGAUUACUCUGAAUCUCAAUUCCUGCUUCUCAAAAAUGUAUAUCAUCACAGCAUCUAUCUUCCAGGCAUGUGAUGAGGAUUAAAAUAAGUAAUGUAUAUAAACUAUUCUGCAAACCUGAAAGUGUUCUAUAAGUGUGACCUAUACACACAAAGCAUAUUCUGCAAAGCCAUUUCCUUCAUAAGUAAAUGUAGAUGUGAUAUUUAGUGAAAAUGUUCAUAUGUGAUUUUAAAUGACCUUGAAUUUUUUUAUUGUGAAGAUAUAGUCUGGGAAUAAAAAGACUCUCUGUUCAAAAUCAUAAUCAGUUUCCAUUCAAAACAAAAUGCAGUACAGGUCAGGUAGAACACAAUGAUCAGAGUUGCAAAGAGUCCAACUCAUUUGGGAGUUAUAGUUUCAAAAGUUAAAGGACUGAGAACCCCUAAAUACUAAGGCAAUGGAGUAGCAUCAGAGGUACCUUGCCCCUAACAUUGUGGGACGAUUUCAAUUUAGUUUCUGCUUCUAGAAAUGUCAGGUCAACACUCUUCCCUCCACAUCCUUCUCCCCCACACCAAGAGGAGCUGGUCUCCACUGGGGUAGCCCAACCCCAGGUAGAAUGGCAUGAGGAGUUAUAAAGAACAUUAACCUGCUUUUGGUGGACCACCUACCGGGGCUAAAAGUCUGAAAGGAAAUUGUCAGCCCUGCAUGAGCAGUGCUGAACCUUAACCCAUUGCCCAUCAAGCAGUGAAGAGCACACAGCAAGAAAUAACCAUCUCCACCCAUUUUCAAGAGCCAUUUUUGUCACAUUAGAUGAAAAGCCAAAAGGUGAAUGGGGAAAACUGAAUAUUUUAUAUAUGCCAUAGUAAAUAGCACAAUUUUAUCGACAGAAAGAAAUUGGCAGGAGGUGCCAUGUGGGAAAGGAAGCUUUUAAUACUGCAUAUGCUCCUGUUUUAAUCAAAUUGGAGUUGUCACUUAUGUUUAGGAAUUGUAAAUUUAAGAACUCUAGAUAAUGUUGAUUUGCAUAAAACUUAAGAGCAAAAUUAUAGGAAACAGAAGAUAAAUACUUCUUUUCCUCCUAACCCUAUGCAUUUUACAUGCUAGGAUGGCAUUUUGAUUGAAGAUGUGCUAAGAUCAAUGGUUGAUGGUUACUGUAGGAGAUUAAAAAUUUAAAACAUUCAAUUUCCCAUAGACACAAAGUAUUUGUGAUUUAAAGGGCUUAUAAAUCUAGUCCAUUAUGUUAGGGAACUUCCUCCAAACAAGCCUCCAAAUAUUUUCAAAUAUUGGAAAUGCCUCUCCUGUGUCUGACAAAAUUCUAGAGUACAUUAUUAAAAGGACGACUUUUGAAUAUUUAGAAAGGGAAGCAGUGAUCACUGAAAACCAGCCUGGUUUCAAUAAGACCAGACUGUCAGACUAACACUAUUUUCUGAACAGCUUGGGACAUGUGGUAGAUAUGAAAAAGGGAAAUUUUCAGUAAACACUUAAUCAAAAAGCAUGUAUUAAGCACCAGCUUUGGAAGAGAGAAGUCGGUGGAAAAAUAUGAGUUCAUUUGGGAUAGUUUAAGACAACUAUAAGACAUUCAGUUUAAGUUUUCCAACAAUCAGUUGAAGAUAUGAGGCUGUCACAAAGAAAAUGUACUGAGAAAAAAAUUCAUGACUUUAUAAGUAAAUCUGAAUAUUUAGGGUUCGAAAUGAAAAAUGAGUCCAGGGGACAAUGAGAUUGCUAAAUGUAAUAGUAUGUAUGGAGAAGAGGGCAUACAUAACACAGAGCUUUGGGGAUGUGGUUAGUGGGUGAGACCUAGAUGAUGAUCCAGCAAAGAAGAUAAAGAACAGUAUGAUAGGUUGGAGGACAACAAGGGAAUCAUAGUCACAAAAACCUAGAGAGAAAAGAUUACCAAAGAGAAGAAUAUGUUCAAUAGAAUCAAAGGCUGCAGAGAAAUUAAGGAAGAUGAGGAUUUAGAAACAUCCAUUAGACUUGGCAAAUAAAAGACCACUGCACUGAUAACUUCAGAAAGAGCAAGUAUGAGUACAAUUAGGUGGAUUCACAAUUAGUUGAAAAAUUGGACCCAAAACAGUCAUUAACAGGUCAAUAGUUUUCAAGUAGAGGACCCCAAGAAUCUGCCUUGUGUUAGUAAAUAUUUAAAAUAGACUAAUUUAUUUCAAUAUUUUUCAUUAAUGCCAUAAUGGGUAUGUUAAUUUUGCAAAUAGCAUAAACAUCAGAAAGAUGAUUAAUACAUUAGAUGAUAGAGUUGGAAUCCAAAAUGAGCUCAACAAAUGAACACAAUGGAGUUAAUAGAAGAUCAAAUGAUGUUUAGCUUUUAGUGGAUGAAUAAAAACUUCCUUCUAUGCUAUUGGUAAAUUCCUUGCAGAAAACUUCAAUAUUGAGGAAGGCACCAGAUUAGCUAUCCUUCAUUCUCCAAAUUUCAUACUUACUCAACCCCAUUCAGUUCAGCUCCUUGAGGAUACAGAUUAUCUUUUUUCUUUUAUUUACAUCCCUCAUACUUAAUAUAAUGACUGUCUAGCACACAACAAAUGCUUGUUGACUUGAUUACUACAUGUAAAAAAGUAUUUAUAGGCAACUAGAUGGCCCAGUAGAUAGAGUGCUGGGCCUGGAGUCAGGACUACUCAUCUUCCUGCGUUUAAAUCUGACCUCAGAUAAUAGCUGUGUGACCCUGGGCAAGUCAUGUAAUUCUGUUUGCCUCAGUUUCCUCAUCUGUCAAAUGAGCCUGUGAAAGAGAUGGCAGACAGUUCCAGUAUCUUUACCAGUAAAACACCAAAUGGGGUAAUAGUCAGAUGUGACUAAAAAAUGAAUAGAACAACUUUCUGACUCCAGUAUCCACUUUGCUGUCUAACUGCCAAAGAGUCAACCAAAGCCACUACUACUACCUUCAACUGCCUUAAGAUACAGUGAGUUCCCAGAAUAAGGGAAAUGUUCAUUCCAUUAUCUUUCCUGUCUAGGAACAGCAAGUACCACAUUUUAAGAAAUAUUUAGACAACCAUAAAUAUGUUCAGAAGAAGGUAACCAAGAUGGAGAAAAGAAUGGUGAUCACACCAUGUGAGGAUAGGUUGAAAAACCCAAGAAUAUUUAGGUCAAAGAUUAUCAGAGGCACAUGAUAGUUGUUGUCAAGUAUUUAGAGGGAUGUCACAUGGAAGGAUUAGGUUUCUUUUGCUUGGCCACAGAAGGGUAGCACUUUCAAUAAUAUUAAGUUGUAAAAAGGCAGAUUUGGAACUGAUGUCCAAAAACUUCCUAAUAAUUAAGACUAUCUUAAAGUAGUGUGGCCCAGAGAAGACACUUAUAUCCCCUUAGCGGAAGUUAAAGGACACGGAGAAAUGUUAUAGGUAGUAUUGUUUGUCAGGUAUGAGUUUAGAUGACAUCCUGUGGUCUCAUCAAACUCAGAUCCUAUGAUUCUGUGAUAUGUGGGGUGGGGGGAAUCAAAGAACAAAGAGAUUCCUUAAACUAGACCACCAAAGUCAAAACCUCUUGCCUUGACUUAAACCAUGCAUACAGGGUGUAUGGAGGGGGGGAGUGGAAGUAUUUUUUCCACACUGGCUGUCUGCAGAAAUUCAUCCCAGCAGAUAAUUGUCCACUCUCCUCUUGACUUUCUGUUUAGACACCAGCCUUUAAGGCACUGAUUGAAGACCUAGCUAUAUAAUGAACUGAGUAUGGAACCUAGAAAUCAUUAAAAUUAUAGCUUUCCUUUUUAUUUCAGGUUUCUGAACAUUUCAGAUCCCUUCCUUCCACUCUGAUGGGCUGCUUCAAAUGGUUGAAGUCAAAUCAAUGGACUCAUCCAAAAGGAGUAUUUAUGCACCAAUCAAGUGAUUUAAAGACUUAGCACCAUUAGGCAAAUAUUUGUGCUAGUCAUUUUUUACUCUUUAAUAAAGUAUUGAAACUGGACCAAAAGGAAGGAUCCUAAUAGGUAAAUGCUAAACUCAUCCAAGCUGUAAUCAAACUUACCUUCAUAUUGUGUCAGCCACAUUGUUCUUAACAAGAACAACAUUAAUGGAGGCAUCACAAAGGUAGUAUAAAGAGGCAGCUGAAUUUGUUUUAAUUAACUUCAAUUGCUUACAUAUCAUAAAUUACAAAGCUGACUUGCAGGCCAAUUAUAUGGUAUUUACCUCUAUUGCCCAAAACUUCCAAGUUAUAUCUCUAAAUACCACUCAAGCCAGUUGUAGAAAUCAACUUGCUAAUAGAUGUUUUGUUUUUGUUUCUUCUUUAUCAUUUGCUACUGUAGCUAUCUUGCCAGGUUCAUUUCAUCUCUAAUAUUCUAUGAUUCUCUCACUAAAAUAAUUAAUUCAACCAGUGUUUCAUUAUGUAGAAAAAGUCUCUAUUUUAAAUCUUUUCUGUGAGUCAUUCAUUUAGUGAGUCCGAUCAGCGACUGCUAUAUGUAUAGUUCUUCUUGCCCCCUUCCUACUCCACCUCCCCUAAAAACAUAUAGAUAUCUGAAAUUGCAGAGUGAGACUGUAGGAUGCAGAAGUAAACUUUGUGGUAGUAGACUACCACAAUCCCUGGCAACGAGUACCAGACUUGAAGUCAAGAGGACCUGGGUUCAAAUCCUGAUUUGGGCACCAUUAUCUGUGUGACUCUGGGCAAGUCAUUUAACUUUCUGGAGCCUUAGUUUCCUAAAAUAGAGAAAAUAGCACCUAAUUUAGGAUUGCUAAGAGGCUCAAAUAAGCUACUGCAUGUAAAGUAUUUUGUAUACCUAAAAGCACUAUAUAAUUGUGAAUUGUUAUUGUCAUCAUCAUGGCUAUCGUGUUUUAGCACCUUAGGCACAUGUAUCCUUCUGGUAAUAAGAAAAUUAACAUUUUUCAUAGAAUUAAAUGACUAUGAAUAAAUAGACAAAAGUUGGAUAAUUAUUGGGAAGAGAAAAUUUAAAAGUCAUUUCUUUAAUUAGGCCUCUAAUGAACAACUCUCAAUGUUGCCUAGGUCCCCUUCACUGCCUCUCUUGUUUCAAAUGCUGGGCUUAUUCAGUUCAAUGGCCCUGAACUCAGCACAUGGAUCAUAAUUUACAGCACAGGUUCUUAAUACCUAGGGACUGUUCAGUGUAUUGUUACAUUUUGUCUGAAAAUAUAACACAGAAACUGUUAGGUUUUUUCUGUAGCAGGGCAAUGACAGGAUGUGAAUGAAGAGUCUCAGUUACUUGACAGAAAUUAAUUGCUUUUAAUUUUUUAUCUCUGACAACUAAUAAAAGAACUUGGUUGCCAAAACUGCCCCCUACUGGCAUGGCGUUUAAGAACCCAGAGUCAUCUGCAUGCAGUAGUAGGUUAUCAGAGAAAGAUGUACAUGGAAGUUACUUUGUUAUUAUCAUAUUUAUUCCAUUAUUAUUUUAUUUAAUUAUUUGGCAUUAAAUUAGCCUGAAUAACAAUAAAUAUGUAUUAAGAUUUUUAUUAUGUAUAAGGUCCUAUGGUUCUUGCCCUCUAGGUGUUGAAGACUGAGUUGGGUAAAUAGGACAAAGAUAUAAAGAUAUGAAUAAAUGCCAAAUAACUAAUGUAUGGGCUAAAUAAGUAGAAUAGGAAGUCAAUGGUAAAGAAACUUUGCUUAUAUUGAGGGCACUUAGAGCAAUAACAUUAGAAGUGGAUGAGAUUUGACCUGGAAUUUGAAAUUAAAUUGACUUUCAUUCAACAAGCAUUUAUUAAACUCCACUGCUAUACCCAACAGUAUACUAGGCCCUGGAGCUACAGCGAUGAAAGUAGAACAGGUUCUGCCUUCAUGUUGUUUGAGGGAGGGUAACAUAGAUGGAUCAUAGAUUUUGAACUGGAAGGAAUCUUAGCAUUCAUUUAUUCAAAAUCUAUCAUUUCACAGAUGAGAAAACUGAGGCUCAGAGAAGUUAAGGAAUUUAUCCAAGAUCAAGCAGGUAGUGAAAGAUUAGGAAUUCAAAGGCAGAGUCUCUCACUCCAAAUCCAGUACUCUUUCCAAAGUAGAAAAGUAGGUACAAAAACAGACACAUUAAUAUAUUUCAUUGGAUGAAGUAGUGAAACAUUCACAUAUUCAAAAUUCCUUUGCAGGAUUAGAUCCACUCACUAAGGAAAAACAACCACCACUACCCAGAGUAAUAGGAAAGUAAAUCUUUGGUCCAAAUUUUCUGAUAUAAACUUAAUAGUUUUGAAAACUUCCAAGAGUACCUGCUACUUAGAAUAGAAUUCUAAAAUUGUUAGUUCAGAAGCUCCACAGUGUUUGGCAGUAGCAUAAAAGUGCCCUUCUAACAGGUCAAGAGAUGGUAAUUGGGCAUUUAGAGUAUAAAGCAGAAAUGGGCUUGCAAAGGCAAUAAAGGUGUAGGGAGAAACAAACUGGGAGUGACUUUGGAAAGUAACUAUCUGAGCAAUGCAAAUCAUUGAACAAUGGAGCCACUUCUCUCCAAAUAAGAUAAAACUUAAGUUCAUUGCUAAUAAUAGCUUGCAUUUCAUAUGGUGCUUUAGGAUGACAAAGUACUUUAGAAAUAGUUCAGUCAAUCUUCUGGACUAUCUAGAAAGGCAGGCUGCACAAGAUUUUGUUGUUGUAUGGUUUUUAUAUGGAUCGCAACCCUACACAUAGUGGAUAAAGGGCUAUCCUCAGAAUUACUCAAGUCUUAUAUUCAUAUGUGCUAGCUGUGCAACACUAGGGAAGACAUCUCUGUGCAACUCUCAAAGAAGGCACCUUGUAACUCAAGAUACAGCUAGCAAAUUUAGCAUAAAUGUGCCCCCAAACAAUUAGUUCAUGAGAGGUUGCCUUGUCAGUGCUCACUUGUUUAGGGGAGGCCAGUACAGCCACUCAGAGAACAGUUUACCUGGCAUGAGACCAUGGCUAUUUGGAAGCUUCCAAUUUGGCAGAGGUGUUCUUACUAAGUAGAUACUGAGAUUAAUUGCUUCUUUACUGAGGAAGACUACAAAGCUUGUCAGAAUCUUAUAAAUUUCAGUAUCCUGGGGCAUUUAUGGUUCAGCUGAUUUAUAUGGAAAGAGGAAUGCUCAACAGUAGAUGUUCCUUAUGGCAAUGAAAUUGCAUGGAAAGCAUUAGGGCCUCAUUUUAACCUAUGAAUAAACUGAGGCUUAAAGAAGUUAAGGGACUUGGCCUACAUCAUAGCUGCUACAUGGCAGAGUUAAUUAAGCCUUGAAUCCAGGAGUCAAGAUUCCAAAGUCCCUGUCCUCCCAGUCUAAGACACUGCCACAAACAGUGCCUGAUACAGCCCAUUAUGACUAAAAUUCAGCACACAGUAGGAGUUUGGCUAGUAUAUAUUUUGCCUAUGAAGCUACAGUCUUCAAAUGGUUUAUGUUUCCACACAGAUUCUGCUUUGGAUUUCUGAAAGAACAUUUUUAGAUGAUUUAAUUGAUAGUUUCUGUUGUUACAUUUUUCUUUUCCAAUGAGCUAUCCCUCCUCCUCCUCCUCCUCCUCCUCUCUCUCUCUCAUAUCAGAAGAAAAGAGGAGAAAAUUAAAAGGCAGACAUAGAAAAAGGAAUGUUCUUAAUAUUUUAUUUUUCCCAAUUAUAUGUAAAAACAAUUAACAUUUGCUUUUUAAAAAUUUUGAGUAUUGGAUUCUUUCCCUCUCUCCACCACUGAGAUGGUAAGCAAUCUAAUAUAGAUUUUAAGUGAGAAAAUAUUUUUUGAUAUGAAUCCUUUUGUAGAAGGAAAUUCUAACCAAAAAAAUUAAGAAAGUGAAAAAAGUUUCCUUUGGUGUGUAUUCAGAUUUCACCAGUUCUUUCUCUGGAAGAGGUCGACAUUUUUUUAUCAUGAGUCCUUUGAGAUUG